This 45940-nucleotide long non-coding RNA is filed under the name Vigna radiata. Its description in RNAcentral is "long non-coding RNA (VRAD_LNC009305)". The record is from RNAcentral. Lineage: Eukaryota; Viridiplantae; Streptophyta; Magnoliopsida; Fabales; Fabaceae.
CAUAGAACUAUCCUAGUUGACCACCGUCUAAGAGUGGUAAGGAGGGGGAGGCGAUGCGUAGAUGUAGUGCGGGGGUGGUGGAGGAGGGGACUUGUACUUGUAGGGCUUCUUGUAAGGGGGUGGUGGCGGAGAGUGAUAGAUUGGGUGGGGAAUGUAAGGAGGAUGAGGGUGAGGAAGAGGGUGCGGGUGGGGCAAAGGAUGGGGGUGAGGAAGAGGGUGUGGGUGUGGGUGGGGAAGAGGGUGGGGGUGUGGGUGUGGAAGAGGGUGUGGGUGGGGGUAUGGGUGGACAGGAGGUGGAGGCGACAGGUACUUGUAAGGCUUCUUAGGGGGUGGAGGAGGAGAGGGGUACACGUAGGGAGGGUGUGGGUGUGGAUGGGGGUGGGGCUGAGGGUGUGGGUGUGGGUGUGGAUGCGGGUGAGGGUAAGGGUGGACUGGUGGUGGUGGAGAUGGGUACUUGUAGGGAGGGUGAGGGUGAGGGUGAGGGUGGGGGUGUGGGUGGGGAUGGGGGUGAGGAUGGGGAUAAGGGUGCACUGGAGGUGGGGGAGAUGGGUAUUUGUAGGGCUUCUUGGGAGGAGGAGGUGGUGAGUGGUAGUAGUAAGGCUUCUUCGGAGGAGGUGGCGGUGGAGAGUGGUAGUAGUAUGGUUUCUUCUUCGGUGGAGGUGGGGGUGGUGAGUGGUAGUAAUAUGGUUUGGGUGGAGGUGGUGAAGGUGGCGGGGGAGAAUGGUAGUAGUAAGGCUUAGGUGGAGGUGGUGAGGGUGGUGGGGGAGAAUGGUAGUAGUACGGCUUAGGUGGAGGAGGUGAAGGUGGUGGGGGAGAGUGAUAGUAGUAUGGCUUCUUCUUGGGUGGGGGUGGUGGUGGUGAGUGAUAGUAGUACGGCUUAGGUGGAGGUGGUGAAGGAGGUGGUGGUGAGUGAUAAUAGUAUGGCUUAGGUGGAGGUGGUGAAGGAGGUGGUGGUGAGUGAUAGUAGUAUGGCUUAGGUGGAGGUGGUGAAGGUGGUGGUGGAGAGUGGUAGUAGUAUGGCUUCUUUUUGGGUGGUGGUGGUGGUGGUGAGUGGUAGUAGUAUGGCUUAGGUGGAGGUGGGGAAGGUGGUGGAGGAGAAUGGUAGUAAUAUGGCUUGGGUGGAGGAGGUGAAGGUGGUGGUGGAGAGUGGUAGUAGUAUGGUUUUUUUGGUGGAGGUGGUGAAGGAGGAGGAGGAGAGUGAUAAUAAUAGGGUUUCUUAGGUGGUGGAGGUGAUGAGUACAAGUAGUUAUCAGCUGAGAUUUGAGAAGGGAAGGUUAAAGACAGUAAUGAGAAUAGCAGAGUAAGUGUGGCGGAGGAGGCCAUUAGAGACCCCAUUGUUUUUCCCCUCAACCUCACUACAACGUGGGGUUUUGUUAUGCUUUUUCUCAACCAAAGAGCCACCCUUUAUAUAGAAUCUUUCUUUACCCCAACUAAUCUUUUUGGUAAAUUUCUUCUCAUGCAUGCGCAUUCCAAUCAUCUCUUCUCCUUUCUAAUAAAACAUAUAAAUUCCCAUAUAUAUUGACGUUGGCAAACAGAAAAAAGGCUUAAAUUAUGAAAAUGAUAUUUGUCCUUUUUGGGCAGUAAAUAUAAAUAGAUGAAGGGGAAUGUAAAAUGAUUUUGAAAUACUGAAACAUUAACUGGUUGGUUGUUUGAAAAGUAAAUGGAUGGCAUUGGAGACUUAAAAAAGUGUGGGACUGUAUGGUCCGUAGCAGCCUCAAUGAUUUUGAAGGAGUGUCUCUCUUUUUCUCUCUCUAAUCAAUUCAUAGAGGCUGCUUCUGUACACACUUUAGAGUGUGCACCACACCACGGCUUGCACAUGUUGCAUGCCAUUCUACAGUUCCUUUUUCGAUAAUACAAAAUUCCUUUUACUUUUUCCAUCUUUUAUUUCUUACCCUACUCUGCCCAUUUAAAUGCCACCCAAAUUCAUGUCUCCAUCUCUUUAAUUGCUAAUUUUACUUUUCUUCUCAAUUUUUUAAACAAACAACUGUGAUUUAUAAUUAACUUUUUGGUUGAAAAAAAGUGUAAAGGUCCCAACAAAGGUGGCUUCUUCUCCUUAAUGGGAUACUCUGACGUUAAUUGAGUUAAUGAAAACAUUAAUAGUGAAUGGUUGGUGUAACCCAAAUUACGUACAACGUUGGUUAUGAAUAAAGGUUCAUUCGGUGUAAUAUUGUAAGUAGUUUUAGUAUGACUAUAUAGUUAAAAUAAAAAUUUAAUCGAAGCUAAAAUGGAAAACACUCAUUCCCAUUUGUAUCUAAAUUUAGUUAUGAAUGAGUUAAACAUUGUUUAAUCUGGCCAAGAGAUUUUUUGGUUAACGGAAUUUAAAUAAAUUAUCGAAAAUGGGAAGAGUUAAACAAAGGGAAAGGAAGAAAAGUAGAGAUAGUAUAACCUACAAAUUUCAUGCUCUUAUUUUAGUAACUUUCUAUACAAGUUACCAUUUGUCACAUGUUCGAAAGGGUUGGUAAGUUUCUAACUUGUGUUUCAACGUCUCCUAAAAUAGUAAGAUCCAUUCAUAGCUACAUAGAUAGGUAUCUUAUACCUAAGUAUCAUUACAUCACUACUUAUGUAUGCAUAACCUAAAAUAUAAAAGAGACAGAUAUUGGUACACUAUAUUUUUAAAAUUAUUAUUGACUAAAGAUUUAGCAGUACAUAUAUAAAAGCAACCGCAGACAGAAGAGAAACUAGACAAGUUUUAUUCAUAAGAGUUAAAGAAUUUAUAAUUCACCGUCACUGUGUAUUAUCAUAUGAAAUCGAUUAAUAAAUAAAAUAAGAAAAGCAUAAUAAUAUGUAUGAUAGAAAAGGAAGGGUGAAGAAAAUAUUUAGCUAUCAGAUCCAGACUGGCCAUGUAUAUUUGACCAUUCAUGAUCUCAUAGAUGUCACAUUCCCAUUGACUGAAUGUAUUUUUCCAUAUGUAUGAAUGCGACAUGCACAGAUAGCACUGUGUCUCAGCAACAUCUCAUUGAUAUUUAACUUGUAAUAUAUUUCACACACAUUGUUUUUCUUUGUGACAAUGAGCAACAGUUUAAAGUUAUAGUAAGUUUGAUUUCGUGCAAUUUUUAGUGCAAAAAAUAUCAGAGAUAGUAGAACAAGAAAACAGGCAAACACCAGCUACUUCACUACUGUCUUGCGGUAAAAUUCCUUUACUUGAUCAUCAAGUGAAAGUGACUGCACAACGCAUAUUUUUUAAAUUAUUUUCAUUUUGAAACGAGAUUCUUCGUGUGAAAAGACAAAAUGAGAAUCUACUAUACAUGUUUAUUUUAAUACGUGCGAAAAAAAAAAUUAUUUCAAACAAUUAAAUACAUUAGGGGAUAGUGAUUUCUUAUCAAUUCAAGUAAUUCUUUUUUCUAAUAGCUCCAAACACAGUUUUAAAAUGUAAAACAUAAUUUAAAAAGAUUCCAGAGAAGAUUUUUUUUAUCAGCUAAAAAACAUAUAUAGUUAAGCAGAACUAUUUACUAAAGAAUUUUGGUUGAAAAUUUCACUGAACAAUGUACUAAGCAGAAGUAAUUAACAAUUAAAACGUGUUGUUAAAAUUAAAAUACAAAAGAAUUAUUAUUAUUUUUUUGGUAUCCUACGUAGCAAAGCCUGAAAGGAUUAGAGAGAUCUACCUAGUUUGGUAAAAGUUUGAAGGAUAUGUACAUGAAAUGAUGAUUGGGUGAUUUGGGGGAGGACUUUAGAGAGUGUAUUCAAGAAAGUUGGUCCAUUAUAGUCUAUAGUGGCAACAUGCAUGCAUAUACAUGAUGAAGAUGAAAAAGUAUAAAUAAUAUUUAUAGGGUAAAUGAUUGAUUAUUUUAAUAAUAAUAAGUAAUGGAAAAAUAGAAUAAAAAAAUUGGUAGGGUUGGGGAAACUUGAUUGGGGGUGUCUGGGAAGAUGGAAGUAUAGUCCAGUUUGAAUAACCUUUUUACAGCUAAAUUGUAACGUGUGGACACCAUGCAUGCAGCUCAAAUUCUGAUACAAUCAUAAAAAAAUAUUACAUCACAUGCUCACUUCAAAGGUAAACCCCUUUUUAUAUUUAACAAAUUCAAUUUAUCAUUUCACUAAACAAUUAUUCCCAACUUGUAAUCAAAAUUAAAUCCGAAUCUUCAAGUCUAUGUAUAUUUAAAUUUUUAUUUUUAUCGUGUUAACAAUAAAAGGAUUAUUUUUACAAGUAGAUUUCAUGUAUAUUUGCGAAUAUUCUGAAUAAUAAUGCGCAAGAACUUGUUAUUAAUUUAUGGAUUAUAUAUGUAUGGCAUGUGGGUUCAUAUAGACAGCCAAUAUUUACUUUAUAUAUCACAAACUUUAUACAUUAUGAGAUAAGACAUAUUUGUCCCUGUAUUAUGUACUAUUUUAAUAUUUUAAACUAAUGGUUUAGAAUUUGAAAAACCAAAAGUGUUCCUUGUAAUUUUGUACUCUUUAAUUAGGUGGACAGCAUUUCAUUAAUCACCUUUUGCAUGCAAUUUUUUCCUUUAUUUACAUCAUGGGUAGACAAUCAGGUUUUAGUAAAUAAUUCUACAAUCUUUAAAGAAAUAGAAAAAAAAAUAUAUUUACAUUUUAAAUUCUAAAACUAUAAGUAAAAAUGUAAUGCGACAUAAAUACUAGGGUUUUGUAAUUACAUAAAGAAUUUCAGUUUGUCUUCAUUUAGAUUCCACUCCUCUCUUUUAAUUAUGUCUAUUUUUAAAAAUAAAAGACUGGUAUGAUAUUAAUUUAAAAUUUAGAUUUCAAACAACGUAAAAUGAAAUAUUUCAAGCACAAUUUUUUACAUAUACUUUUUACAAAUAAAUACAUCUAUCCUGAGUUAGAAAUGUUGUUAAACUUUCUUACUCAAGCAUUACAAUUAAUCUUUCUUACUCAAGCAUUGCAAUUACUAACCCCAACAGGAAAUGUCAAAUUUAAUAUAUAUAAAAGCUAAUGAGAUGUAUAUUAAUGAUUAAAGCAAGAGAUUUUGAUUUGCCAUGAUAUCUAAAAGAAAAAAAAAAAGACUAGGAUGAAAGUAUGAGCAUUCAAAGUACUAAAAUAAUAUUAAACAAUGUGAACAAAACAAAUAUGCAUUAUUAUAUCACUAUUUAGCACUUGACUAAAAUAAUACAUUAUAAAUGGAGUGUGACAAAUUUUGAUGCAUUCAUUGAACACCGUUGGAUGAGAGCUGCCUCAUUAAAUUAAUUGUGGCUAUUGGAUUAAUUUAAGGAUGCAAAGAGUGAGUUGAAAAAUCAAACACACUAGAUCAAAGUGCACCAAAUUAAAAUCCUUAUUUAACUGUAUUCAUGUGGAAGCAAGAAAAAAAUAAACAAUUCAAUAGACAAAAAGAUAAUGUGUUGCCUUCAACUUUUUUAAGAAAAACGAAAUGACAAUAAUAUCAUCUUUUUUAAGUUACCGACACAAAAAGAUUACCAUGAGAUGGAGUUCACAUCUUGAACAUGGACCAUCAGGAUCAUGGUGAUGGAGUGGAUCAGACGGCUAGUGUUUCACAUGUAGAGAGAUCAAAAUGUCCAUUAUUCACUGCAAGAUAGGUACAUAAUCGUGUAUAUAAAAAUCCAUAAACAAAAGUCAAAGUAGGUUCACAUCAUGGUGUUGUUAUUCUGGUCCCUAGUGUAUGGUAUCUUCCUAGCUUCUCUACUUUGAAGAGUCACCACACUUCAAAACAAAACAAAACCCAAAACUAUUGAUAGAAAAAUCAAAGGUGACAGAUAUUAUUAACAAGCUGUAUUACACUUAAGUUAAUUAGUAAGUCUCUUAAUUAAUUAAAUUGUUAGAUAUUCAAGACCAUUAAAAAAAAUAAUAAAGAUAUCAUUAUCUUGUUGGAAUAAUUCUCAUUCUGUAAAUCCCCUUAUACGUGAUGAAGCCAUGAAGGCAUGACAUUGGUGAUGUGGACCACAUUUUCAGUAUAAGAAUUAAAUCUCUUUCUGAUUUUCCUCAUUGUAAAGAAUCCAAAGACCUUUGUCAUAAGAUUCCACUGCUUUGUUAGCUUUGACAACUACAAUUUCAAUGCAUGGCUACUUUUGUACAACUUUCUUCAAUUCAUCCUUAAUCUCCGUAACUACUUAAUUUUGCAAAUAAACCUUACUAAGUACAUUAUAUUAAUACUAAACCAUGCCAUAUGAGUGCAUUACAUUAAUUAAUACCAAGUCAUUGACAGAUCAACAAUAACUGCCACAAAAGCCUAGUCACCAGACGUGUAGUUUUGCAUAUAUGAAGUUAAUGAAAGAUAUGUAUAAUUACAAAGGAAAAAGUCUUUUUAACAACUCUUUUUUAACAACUUUUACGUGGCAGUCUAUGAUUGGUCCGUUUCAAAUAUUUUUUUAAACAUAAAUUUAAACAUACCAAUAAAAUGAUGACACGUGUCCUGUUAUCAAAAAAUUGUUAAAAAAGAGUUGUCAAAAUAUCAUUGUCCAGUUGCUAAAGUAAAGGAAACAAAAGUAAUGGAGCUUUGGGUGCAAUCAUGUGCAUGUUGUAUACUUAAGCAUCUUACCUUGUUAUCAUUACUCUGACCCAAAAUCAAUCAAUUUGCUUUCUAUAAAAAACAAGCAUCUUACCUUUUAAUGAAAUAUUAAAUACCCAUGAUAUUAAAAGCAUGUAAAUAAUUUGUAACACUUUCAAAGGUUCAAACAUUGAACUUUUAGGACAUCCUAUUUGAGGUUCUAACAUUGUUUUCUUAUGUGUGAGAUCCAUUGCAUUGUAUUGUCAUCUCUAUAUUUCAAAAGCCUGACAAUUUUUACUGUUUAUAUCAGUUCCAUGAAAAACAGUGAUUAUGUUCAUUCAGAAUUGCAUUUAAUUGGGAAGAUAAGAAAGAGUGGUAGAAGAAGUGAAGAAGACCCCACUGUAAUUGCCUCAGGCAAAGCAGAGAGAUUGAUCAGGAAUGAUGAUUUUUCUUUGUUUUUUUAUUGAUUACUUGCAGAGAGAGAGCGCCUAACAUUAUACUUAUUCUAGAGAAAUGAAGAAGAAAAGUCAGCUACCUACUACACAAAUGAUGCCAAAGAAUGAUAGAGAUUGAGUGAACCAACACUACCUACUUUUAUUAACUAUAAAAAUCAAAACUUUUAAUUAGUUCUUUUCAGUACCACUACUAUUAUUUUCUCUUUAAUUAACAAAUUAUUCAAGCUGCACAAAAUACUCUAAAAUCUAACCAAAAGUUUUAUGAUGUUUAAAAAUAACUCAGAAACUAAAGUAAAAUAUAAUUUAUGAAGUAAAUUUGGCAUGCUUUAAAUAGUAAACUAGCUUCAUAUUGGAACACAUCAUUCAAUCAAAUUUCAACUUUCAAAAGCUGAUGGUUUAUCGGGUAACUUUGCGUGAAACUUGUUAAGAAAACAAAAACAAUGACAGCAAAAUGACGUGAAUAACCUGUUUAUUUUCUGACAGGAGCAGUAAUUGCUUUUACUUUUAAAAUAUUCAUUUUUUUAACUUUUCUUAUAUGUACGUAGAUGAAAGGAAAGAGGUGGACCCCACCUGCCGACACAUACAAUACUGUUUAAGGGAAUGAAGACUUAUAGGUCAAAGUGAAGUUACCUAAACAGAUUAAAGUUUUUGGUAAAUUAGAUCAUUUUUACUUUAUAUUUAUAUAAUUUAUUUAGAAUUUUCAUAUUAUUUAUAUUUUCAUAAAGUCAAGUAAAUGAUCAAAUUUACUUUGUGAAGUUAACUUUUCAAAAUUAUUCUUGUUUGUUUAGUCUUCUUGAACUCUUUACUUCUGUCAUUAAUAAUGUGAUGUUUUAUUAUCUUGAAGAUAUAUUUUCAUUUACACUAUUAUUAAGAACAAGAAAAAAAAUUCUUGUGAUUUGUAUCUAUUUGACGUAUCAGACCAGAGAGAUCAACCUAAAAGAAUUUAUUAAGAAAAAAUUAUAAUUUAGUCAAUUUUAAUUUAUACUUGUACCAAAAGAGGCAUGUGAACCUCAUGCCUACUAGUAUUAGCUAUGUUUGGAUGUAACUGUUAUUAUAUAAUUCCUCCUUAAUCAUUUUGGAAUAACUUGAUUAGUUAUAUUUUUCUAGUUGAGAAUUUCUCAACAUAUUGCAAUUACCUAGGGUUAAUUAAUUAUUAUAAUUAUGGAUUGAUAUAGAACCAAUAACGGUAAUGAUAUGAAUAAGAAAGGGUCAUUGGGUCCUAGUUAGAGGCAACCAGACCCAUCAGACUAAGGGUACAUGAUUUUGGAAGGGAUUUUUAUAAAGUCAGAUUCUUCAAUUGCUAAUUUUUCACCCUCUCUCUAAAAACCCUUAUCCUAAAUAUUGCUCUGUCUUAUCUCUAAAAUACCACUCUGUUGAAUCGUCCAAUCUUUGGUAAAGAAGGUACAUAAACACUCCUAAUGUAGAGGGUUUCAUUCUGAACCGAUUACUUUCUCCGUCUCCUUCCGGUAAAUGGUUCUCCUGUUUCUUCCGUUAUUUUCGAAACCUAGGGCUUGGGUUUUACUGAUCUCAUGCAGUUAGAACCUUCCCUUCUUUGAUUUCUAUUAUAUUCUAGCUUUAAGAGUUGUUUUCCAUCGUCUCUUUGAGAGCCUUUCUUUGUUGGUAGGAUAGAGAAACCUUAAAAACCUGAGUUGGCACAUCCCUGAUCAUAGAGCAGCCCUGGCCUGAUCCAGUUAGUUGUGACUAGUCAUAUGUGCUGGCACCAAAGGUGAGUCUGAUGCGUUCAGAAAUCUAGGUCCUCUCCGGUGACCAAUUGGGGUAUAAGGAGGGUUGGGGGAAGGUAAGAUCUCCACUCUAAUAACAAUUAGAUAAACAGUUUAAUAAUUGGGAAACAUUUUAGGUUGGUUAAGGGGAAGUAAGGAGAGCUAACUCUAUUUUGUUUUGUUUGGUGUGUUUGAUGUGUGAUUUACUAACUAAACCGAGCUGAAUAAUGUUUAAAAAUCAUAAUUUACAGUAUUCAUAAUUUAUGUACAUUUGCUAUUAGAUAUGAAAGAAAAAUUGGUUCCAAAAGAAAUGCCUUUUUCUUUCUUUAGAAACAUUUGUAUAUGAUUGUAUCUAUAUUCUAUUGUUACAAACGUUUCUUUUUAUUUACAAAUUUAGACAAUCACAACUAAAUUUUAAAAUUGUCCUGAAGAGUCUCAAUAGUUCUUCCUUAAUUUUUGCCAUGUCUUUAAAUGUAUGUUAUUAUAAAUUUAAAUUAUGUUAAUGUUUUAUAUGCAUAUUAUAUUUUGAAUUUCAUAUUUAUUAGGACAUUUCAGAUUUAAUAAUAAUAAUAAUAUAUUUUGGAAUAAGUGAUAAUAAAUUGAAUAAUUAUAUUGGUAAUGAGUAUUGUGUUAUAAGUCUUGUGUUGGAUAAGUAAUACAUCUUGUGGAGAUUAUGUAUAUGUUGAUUGUGGCAAAAAUAUAUGAUUACAAAGUGUAAAAGUACGAUUAAAGUGGUAAACCAAGUUUCAUCUAUGUAGAAUCUCUUGGUGAGAUUCUUAGUGUUUUAGAAUGAAAGUAGGAGUUCAGUCUUGUGGGUCUUCUUGACGCUCCAAUGGCCUUUCUUCUCAUGUAGAGAGGAUUAGACUGUGUGGUGAGGAGUAGCAGGAGGUCUUAGUCUUGGAGGCUUCCAUCAUGCUCCAGAGCGCGGAACAGUCUAACCUCGUGAGUGUGGCAGGGCGGGAGAGCCCAAGGCGGUAGAGCCUAAGUAUCACAAGCCACCACGGGUGCAUGACCCACCAUAGCUCGACUAUCAUUCUAAAGUCCGGACGAGUCAAGUCUAGUAUUUAACAUGAUAGGAUGAAUGUUUUAUCUUGUUUGCUUUAAAUCAAUAUCUUGUAUGUACAUACUCUUAAUUGUAUGCUUUUUAUAUAAUUAGCUCACCCUUGCAAUUGCUUGUGUUUGUGCCAUGUUUGCGUUUGUUUCCCUUGCGAUAAUCAUCCACUUGUAUGGGAGCAGAUGGCGAGGAGAUACUUUGGAAACAACUCUUGAUGGAAAGGAAAUGUUGCUGCCUAGUUCUCUAGGUUUUAAUUAGAAAUUUUGUCAUGUUCUAAGUUUUAAAUUCUCUGUAUUUUAAGGGAGAAACUCUAGUAUUCCAAGUUUAUGUAUUAUAUUGUUUAAGGAUGACUGUAAUCUUAUUACUCUUAACUGCUUUCUAGUAUUAUUCAUGGUGACUCCUUUAUUAUAUUAUAUAUCUUUAUAAUAUAUAUAAUUGGGAUGUCACAAUAACUAUAUUUUGUUAAAAUUAAAUAAUAAUAAUAAACAAUCAAAUUAUUUAUUUUUUAAUAUAUUUUAAAAAAAUAUAUAUUACUUUAGUUUUAAUUUGUAUAAAAAUAUAUUAAUCAUUUAAAACUAAUUAAUAAUUUUUUAGUAUAUAAUUUGUAUUAUAUAACCUUCCCUCUAACCGUGAAUUAAAAGAAAUAUGAUUAAUUAAAAGAUAUUGAAUAGUAUAAUAUUUGGUGUAAAUAAGUGAAAAUAAAAGAAAACUUUAUCUUAUUUUAUUUUUCUUCAACCAAAUAAUUUAAUAAUUUAUUUUUUACUUUUUAUUUUCUUUGAUGCAUUUCUAAAACUAAUUCACAUGCGAUCGUAAUAUAACUUAAAGUUUAUAAUCUGCUGAUUGUUUACAAGUCAGUUAAAAUAAAUCAUGAGUUAUUAGCCAUCGUUUAAGUUAAAAGUGCACUGAUUUAUAUAUUUUAGACGUAGAAAUCAAAAGAGACAAAACAUAAUUUAUAUACUUAACGACCCAAUACGAUCCAAAAAAAGUGGUAAGAAAAAAAGUUUAAGUUAUGUUUAUAUUGUUGCAAUAUCAAAAAAUGAAGUAUUUGUUAUAAAUCCAUAAAAAACGUAAUAUAUGUAAAAUGUUCUUAUACAUACACCAAAUAUAUCUCAUUCCUAGUAAUAAAUUACUAUUGCAAUAACUCUUAAAUAAGAUAUGAGUGAAAAGAAAACAAUAAAUUAAAAUAAAUAAUGUGACAAUUUAUACCAGUAUAUAUUAUUCUUAACCAAUUCAAUAAUUAACACCAAAUGCUAAUUUAACAAAAUUAACGGGUGAAUUAAAAACUCUUACUAUUUAAAUCAUUAUAGUAAAAAAAACUGUAAUUAAAAAUAUUUUAUAUUCCAUUGUCUUGCAUAAAAUUUAGUGCUAUAUACACCUUUAAAAAUGACAAAUCCAGAAUAAUUUAGUUAUAUUAUUAUUGUUAUAAAAAUCUUACAAUAUUAGUGGGAGCAAUCGGAACGAAAACAUGUGAAAUAAUAAAUAAACCUAUAAAAAUCACAUCAUAGAAUGCAAAACUAUAUCAUAUGGGAAUUUCUUGUACAAAAUUUACAGAAUGAAUAAUUUUUAGCACCACGUGUGCAUAUAUAACAGAUCAUAUGCUAGCACAAAACAAACUAUACGGCUAAUUAUCUACAAAUUCAUAGCCACGGUUUCUUUUGCCUUUAUGUAGUUGUAUCAAAGGAUUUCUUUUAAGUAAAUAACCCUUCAGAAAAAUAGUUUCAUAAAAAAAAAGUCAUUAAUAAUAGCAUAAUGGUACUUUUUAUUUAUAAAAGUAUUUUAAGCACACUACAAUUCAAACUUUAUAAAUCAUAAAUUUGGAGGAGUUGUUUCUACAUUACAUACUACUAUUUAAGAUAAGCUUUCUUUAGUUUUUCAUAAAUAUCUUAAAAGACAUAUCAAUAACGAUUUCUAAUUGAGUGAUAAUAUAGAUAACUUUAUUUAACACAAUAUAAUUAAACUCUUGCUACAUCUACCUAUUCGAUGAAAGGUGAAGGCUGUAGAAGUGGAAACACAAUUUCAAGAUAAUCCAAGUAGCUAUCACAUUCCCAGUCUUCUGAAUUAGAGCCUUGGCCCCAUAACCCUGAAGCUAAUAACAGUUCUCACAAACACGACCAACAUAGCAAGAUAAUAUUAAAAAUAAAAACCUUUAUUUGAGCAAAAAAAAUAAAAAACGCUAAUCAGGUUCAAACUAAAAUUAUCAAUAUUUAUACAACACAGUAAAUUGACUAGGCCCAUCCCAAAAAUCUCCAUGUUAGAUUUGCUCAAAAUGCAAUUGUAAUUUGAUCUCAGCCAGUUAAAAUACUAUGUGCACCUAGGGAGCUCAAUUAAUUAGGAUUGUAGCCAGGAGGGAGAGACUAAAUAUGCAGGUGAACAUCAACUCUGAACAUUCUCACCUCAGAACAGUAGUAUGGGAUAAAGAAAAGUAGGACAUUAUGACCAGCAUAAAACCUGGGUGAACUAAUUCAUCACCUCUUGCCACGAGGUCCAGGUCCGGAUCUGGGACCGGGAAACCGAGAAAACUGAAGCCGCAAGUGGCUAGACUCAGGAUUGAGUUCAUCAACUUUAUAACCUGUGUCAUCACACCACAAUGUCAGCAAACACUGAAAUUUGGGUACAUAAUUAUUUGAAAAAAAUCAUUGACUACUGAGUUCAAAUCCUACAAUACUGACUCACUGAGAUCACAAGGAACAACGCCACUAGCUUGAAGACAUAACUUAAUCUCAGAUCAAGUUUCUACUAUAAUUUUUAUUUACCAUUAGAUUCUCCUUUCCAAUAAUGACCAACUUCCAUAAAUUGUGUGGAGGAAUUUUUUAAUAGUUCAACUUGUCACCAUUUUAAUUGGAGAACUUAAUGACAAUGAUGUAAGAAACGUUAUUAAAAUUUUGUACACAAGUAUGCUGACCACUUGAACAGCAGCUGACUAUGUGGCAGAACAUUGGGACUUUACGUAUCAUAAAAAAAAAAAAAAUAUCUUCAUGUUAAAAUUAGACACACGAGAUGGGUGAUUGCAUUUUCCAAAGUGAUGAUAACAACAUGAAAACAAAUAUUAAUAGUAUCUCCGUAUGUGUUCAUUUUAUGUACUUUGGGAAUGAAAGAGGAUAACAAAUGGGAACAAGGAAGUUGGAAAUCAUUUAUAACGUGUUCACCACUUCAGUUCUAUGAAGUAACCAGUUUGAAUAAACCACUAAGUCACAGAUAACUUUCAUAAAGAUAUUCAAUUUAACAGUGUUUACCAAUUUCCCAUUUUAAAUGCUCAGUUAAAUACAAUAUACAGUAAUAUCAUAAUUAGAUAAGCACAUCAUACUCUAACACUUGUUCAUAUGGAAUUUUAUUGAUAAAUUUAGUGCAACUUUAAAAUGUUUUACCCCGUUACAAUUCAAAAUUUUAUAACAAAACAUUAAGUUUAUUUGGUUACAUUUUCAAAUGUGACUUAUUGCACUCUUUACGCUAUUUUCAGAAGCUCACGGUUACAACUUCAAAUUCUAAAUGUCAUUCCUCCCUUUUCAACGAGUUCCCAAACACUGACAGAAUUCAGGAACAUAAUAGCCACAUAUUGGUUCAGAAGGCCAAAAUACAAGGUAAUUCUACAAUUUUCACAACCUCCAUCAAGUCCCCUUUUAUGAGGAGAUGAUUUCCUAUACGAUGACUCGACAAUCAAACAUGAAAUUAAUUUCAUUUUAUCUCAGCAGGUAACAAGAAGUGAUACCUUGCAGUGCACUCAGAGCAGUUGCUGCACAAGCCGGAUUUGCAAAAUCCACAAAACAAAGGAUUAGAGGAUCUCCUCCACGCUGCAAGAAGCAUGCAUUUCAGCAUAAAGGAUAUGAUAUUUCAUUCAAUCAGCAGAACAACGAGAUACAAAAUAAUAGAUGGCAAACAGACAACUUACGUGUUUCGAUUCUUUGCUCACAAGUCUUACUUCUCUAUAUCCAACAAAAGGGCGAAAAAUAUCUUAAAAUGGCGUUAAGGAAUUUGAAAAGCUAUAAUAGAAAAAGGAAGCUUACAAGACAGUUGACAGUAUGAUAAUACAAUUACUAAACAUUAUGGGAGGGAAAAAGGAUACGAGCCACUUCCCUUCUCGUGCUAUCAGAUGGGAGACCUUCAACAUAUAAAGUACUGGAUGCAUCUGGCGGUAGAGGUACAGUCUCUGGUCCAGGCAUGGAAGCUGUGUCUACUGGUAACUGACCACCAUAAUUGACAUUCCGUCCAUUUCGUGCAAGAUCAUGACCACCACCAGGAUGCCCCAUAACACCAGGAUCAGUUAGCGAAUGGCCUGGCAAUCCACCAACACCCCUUGCCAAUCCAACACCACCAAUUGCACUGGCUUCCCCAGAAUUAAACGAAGUAAGCUGCUUUUAUCAACCAAAAAGAAGUUUUAAUCAAACAAGCUGUGAAAGCACAUCAUCACAUAUUAUGUAAAAAGAACAGGCUAAUAUACCCCUGCACUUUGAAGGUAGCGGUCAUAUGCAGAUCCAAGUGUUUUAGUGUCCUUUAGCAUUCGGUGACCAGUAUGGUCAUCAUUUCGAGCAAUAUAAUUAUGCAUCUCAUUGCCUCCCGAAGUCAGACCAGAAGGUGACAUAUCUGCAAUGUAAAAGAAUCUAGCCUUUAUAACUCUAGUAAAACAAACAGAAGCUGAAUACACUGAAUUAGAGAAGUUUUGAUCAUAUGCAAUGUUGUAUACCAUAGCCAUCCCUCCAAUGCUAACCACUAACAGUACAAAAAACAUCUAGUAGCAAAUAUGCCAGAUGCUGGCAAAACACAGGUAACUAAACAGCACAUGACCCAUAUUUAGUGCUCAUAAUAAUACAAAGAGUAGAGUGCACACACAAACAUGUUUUUUUGUCACCUAUCGAACUAGCAGUAAUCAGAUCCUUACACACCAAGUAGCAUAAAAAGUCAACCAUAGUUACUUGACUAGUUGUAUUAGCUUAACCACUCAAACUAUAGUUCCAGGAGACUGCUAACACACUAAUACUUUCACAACUCUAAGCAGUUAACUGGCAUGUACUAUCCACCAUGUUUGGUCUUCUUCCUUGUAAGAGAAGUCAAUUCAUUUAGUUAAUAUUCUCUUUCAUUGUCUCUCCAUCUCUAUAGCGCUCACUACUAACUUUUGUCACGGGAUUGAGAGCUUUUCUUGGAUCUAUUUCCAUACCAUGGCUUUACCACUUAACCCAUUCCAGUCUUCAGAUCGAACAACAUCACUUGGUGGAUCAUCUACUCAACCCACUCUCCUGCUCAUGUCUCAUUCUCACACCCAAUUUCAACAUAACUUGAUGAAAGAAAUUUCCUACGUAGGCAACAGUAAGCACAGGCUAAGUAUUAUUAUGACCAUAAAAUUCCCAUACAAGUUAGGGAAGUUGUGCUUUCUGACAUGAAAGUUAGUUUUGUUUGAAGUAAGAUUGGAAGGAUCAAAUGCACUAUUCCAUGGCUACUUCACCAAAAGAAUAUCUUCUGACCAGAAAGUCAAUGGAUGCAAACAUUCCUAGCAGAUCUGAAAAUUUUCAGAAAUUACAUUUAUUUGCACUUGUGCUAAGGUGUGUCAAUUCAGAUCUCAAUUGAAACAAGAAAAUGAGCAAUUAAUUUCUGAGCAUCUGCCUUGAUUAAAUCCAUCAUCAAUUCCUUGAUCUAUCCAUCAAUGAUCCACUUUCAUCUUGUUACCUCAAUAAACACCAUAAUUGAUCCAUACGAGUAUUGACACAUAGCAUCUUGUUCGGGAAGCACAACUGGUAAGCAUCAGCAAUGCACUCUUUCAAAUGUAGCUCGAUUUUUCAAAGAGAGAGUGCUGCAGUUUCAAGCAUUCAUCACUCAGCACGACUGCCCUGGUCACCUUAUCUUCAAAAUGUUCCCCAGGAAGCUGUACUUCAUUAGGCUGUGUCAGAGAUCGUGAAGGUCAUGCAGAUUGGUGAUGCUCGAUUUCUUGUCAAUUAAGUUUGGUCAUGAUGCCACAAUUGCUAUCACUAAUUUGAUAAUAAAUUGUUCAAACAACUUGCUUAUUUACUUUCACCCAACCAACACAUACUACUCCGCACUGCAGUGCCAACCAUUGGGAUACACUCCAGCUUUGGCUCAAAACAAAAGUACAACUCACCUACUCCUGGUUUCCAUGGGGCACCACCUUUGGGAGCACUUUAAUUCCUGUUUACACUAAUUAACAAAUCCAACAGUACAAAGUCAUUCCAACCCAUUCAACUCCAAGCAUUUCCUAGCAAAGGUACACACUUCCACCUUUACUCAAACUGGAAAGGUUUUCCAUUCAAAUAUAGUUUCCAGAAUCAAGUCAAUCACCAUCUAACUACAGGAUCUGCAGAAUUUAUUCAAAAACUAGUCUUAUCAGGCAUGGCAAAGAUUUCGAUACACAAUGGAUAAGUAAGGGACAACUCUGCUUACUUUGACUUCCAUCCUUCCAUCUCACUUAUUUUGUCCAAUUCCGAAGGUGUUCUUGAUUCAAAUGGGCUCUAUCAAUUUCAUAACAUGUAAAUUACUUCCUCUUGUACUACAAGAGAACACACAUAUUAGACACAGACAAAACAGGAUUUUUCCCUUUUCCUCAAGUCUCAUUACAGUUUAUAUUUUUCAAUUAUGUUUUUCUGCUAUAAACUUAAUAUACAGAAUAAAAAAUGUAAAGGCUUCAAAAUGAAACAGCAAUCACUCUUUACUCAGAAUGCUCACUAAUGGGUCAACAUUAGAAAGACCCAAAAGUCAAAACCCAACAGUAGAAGUAAGGAUCCUUCAGAGAUGGAAGGUGCACCAGAGAAAGAGGCGUCUAACUGUCCUGCAUUAUGACAUGUUGUAUUGACUUCUUCAAAGAAGGAGAGUGAGACAUGUAUAUUUCACCAUGUCUAGCAUGUGAAAUAUAACAGGUAGGGGGCUGAGUUCCAUAGUGAUGCUCCUUAGGAAAUGUUACGAAUUUAUGAAAAUGGCAAAAGGAAAGAAUUACAAGUUCCAACAGAAGAGAUUUUGAUUGUUGAGAAAAGGAAAAUACAAGUCAGCACAACUGCAUGCACAAAUCAUUCUUACAUCAAUCCCUCGAGUUCUUGUAUAUGAAUCUCCUUACACAUGACACAUUGAUAAAUACGUUAGCAAAUGAAUCACCCCAACACUAACAAUAAAAGUCAUACUCUUGUAGAAUGAAUACUCAGAGUGAGUACAUAACACACUUUCUGUGUAUAGAUUGUCUUUUACUACAAACAAAAUAAUCAUCAAGAUAUAAUUCCUUCAAAGCUUCCUAUUUGCUAUAACAUAUACAGAAUAUUACAGCUCAAUGUUGUACAAAGGCUUCAUGUCAUGAUGACGAAAACAAUGACGAAACCAUAGCAAGAUGCAAUGUUGACGCAGAAUACUAAGAUGUUAUAUUUGAGUAAGAAACCAAACGUGAAAAUAGACAAACAUAAGAUCAUAAUUCAAAGAAAAGAAAACUAGAAAGCUCAAAAAAAGCUAGGAACAUUGAGAUUAGCCAAUAGAAUUUUCAAACACACCACAAACAGAAAUCUUGAAGAUGGAUUAGAAGUUCAAAAAUUGAGAAUGCAGUCCAAAGGGGAUGCUGAGCUUUGAAAAGGAAGGUCAUAUUGGUUUAAAAAGUCAAAGUAUGAGCAGAUUAUCAAGACAGUAGAAAUUAUGUUAAAAAAACACUAUGAUCUGGUCUAGAAAACACUCCUGCAUCCCAGAAGUUCACAAGUAAUUCCAGUAAUGGUCCUUUCCUCACAAUGUUGAAUGGAUUUUGGAAAUGGCCAGAGACACCUAGGAUCAUAUGAUCCUGAGUAUUACCAUAAGGCUACAAAACACACUGUACCAAAAGAAUUUUCAUAAAUAUAGGCAGGUUGCAAUAAUCAGCACAUAAAAUAGUAUAAGUAGUUUAAUUAAAUAAUAUAUUUUGGAUCAUUUUAUAGAUGAACUCCAUGAAUGCUGUCACAAGUCACUGUUCCACCCACUUGAAAAUCCCAGCCCAAAAGUAUACAGAAGGAUACUCCCGUGACACAAAUUGGGUCCCGGAAAAAUUUAAUCUUCAAGAGCUUCAAAUCAUAAAAGCACUUCUUUUAAGGUAUUAUAUCUCAAAGCCCAACAACACAUCCAUAUUCUAUGUUUGUCUAUGCACAUCCAAACUCAAUAACAUCACCACUUCGCUUUGUCAUCUCAAAAACGGAAAUAUAAAGAUUUAAAAACAAUAGAGACAAUCAAACAAUUGACCAAAUCCUAAACCAAUGAAACUAAAAAGGGGUGACUCCAAACCCUAACUUUGAAUUUUUAAAUAGAAAAGUGAAGGAGAGAUAGGAGAUAACCAUAUUCAGUACGAGGUCGUUUGAGCAUUGCGGUAGAGGGCAGAAGCGGCUGUUGCUGCUGCCGAUUCCAGGAGCCAUCAGUCAUGACGAGAGAAACGAUGGAUUUCGCAGAUCUGAUGAACAAUGGUUAUGAUUAUGACUACCGGGUGAAGAUUGAUGGAGAUCCAAUUACAAACCCUAAUUUGCUCAAUACCAAACCCUAGCCUUUGUCCUUCUACAAAAGAGACAAUUUUUUUAAGAGAACUCAGUUUUUUUUUUAAGGAGAUGGUGUGUGGGGUUACAAUUUAGUUUUUUCCAAAUUUCCAUUACCAUAUGCAAAUUUAAAAUGCAUACCACAUAAGAUAAGAUUAGAUGAAUUUAAUUUAAUAUAUAAUUUUAAUUCUAAUAUCUUUAGCUUGCACAAUAAAUUAAUCUUUUUAAGAGAAAUUGUAUUCUUCUCCCAUAAUUUAAUUUUUGUAAUUUUAUUUACUAUAAUAGAAAUGAGUAUCCUUCUAUUAAAAAUAUGAUAAAAAUAUGAAAUUAAUUUAUUAGAGUAGAAGACGAGGGAAUAUUUUCCCCAUAUUGGAUAAUGUUUCAAUGGUCAUUUUUCAUAAAGGAAAAUCUAUUUUUUUUUUCCACUGUAACAUCUUUUAUUUUAAUAUUAGUUAGAAAAAAAAAUAUUUUAUAAUUAUUAUCAUAAAAUAGAAACGGGAAAUAUAAUUUUUAUAAUUUUAGUUGUGACUUAAAAUAUGUUCCAAAAAUAACAUUGUAUAACCAUGAAAAUUGUUUAUAAUAACUCUAUAGUAUAAUUUAUACGGUUAAAAUAUUUGACUACUUUGAAUUGUAAUAUAAUCUUGUUAUUUUAAUUAUUUAUUAUUAUAAAAUUUAGAUGUAUAUAAAGAAAAAAUUUAGGGUUAAAUAUGUUUUUAAUUUCUAUGCUAUCAAGCGUUCUUGGUUUUUAGUCUCUAUUUGAAAGUAAGGUACAUUUUAGUCUUCCUCCUUAAGGAAAUUUUGAUUUUAGUCCUUCAAAACUAACAAUGUUAAAAACCAGCUGACGUAACUAAGAGCAGACUGACCCGAUUUUUUUUCUUGUAUUGUGUCAAUGUUUCUAACCUUUUCUUCCUCGUCUCUUCCUUCCGUCUUCCACUCAACCUCGUCUCUUUUUUCCUUCUAUCUUCUCACUUUUUCUUACGCUGAAAAUGGUGUAAUCUCAUAGGGUAGUUCUACUGUUAAUGUCAAUUUUGUAAAUGCAACAUGAGAGAAGGCAGAAGAGCUAGCUUCAGACGUUAAGAGUAUUACCCAGUUGUAAAAUGAAUAUGUUGUUCCCUUUGGGCUCUGGGAGGUACUUCCAUUCUCUUUUUGGUUAUUUAUUGACGUCGUUUUGUUUUGUUUUGGUUUAGAUUGUUGCAGUUUUAAAUUUAUUUUGUUGUUCUUGUUCUCAUUAUUUUUAGUUUUGAACUAGAUCAAUAUCUUUAAAAGCUUGAUAUGAAAACUACUAGAUAUAAUUACAAGUCUUUUGAGCUUUAGUAUCUAGAUAUCGAUGGCAACCGAGAUUCCAAUGGUGUAGGAAAGGAUUCAUUGUUAGGUCCUCCUUGCCCAAGGAAGAAACGGUCUAUUUUUGUUCAUCUCCUUCCUUUUCUUCUGAUUAUUUUUUUAGCAUAAUCAAACUGUGAAAAUAUACUUAUGAUUUCUUUUCUUUCAAAUGAUACAAAGUUAUAUAAAGGGAAGUUCUGACUUUUUUUUUUCUUUUCUACUGCAUAUUCUUUCUAUAUUUUCAAACCAAAAGGGCGUUUCUGAUUUUGUUGUAUCUUUUUUUUUUCUUAUGAGAAGAUUUAGUUGCAUUUGUCACUGUACCACUGGGCGAUUUAGUCAGUGUUGUUUUGUAGUAUUUUUGCUAAAAAGAAACGAGGUUGGUGGAAGAUGGAAAGAUGGAAGGAAAAGACGAGGGAGGAAAGGUGAGAAACACUGGAAAAAAAUCGUGUCAGUCUACUGUUAAUCACGUCAGCUGGUUUUUAACGGCAUUAGUUUUUGAGAACUAAAAUCAAAGUUUCCUUAAAGAGAAAGACUAAAAUGUACUUUAUUUUGAAAAAGCGACUAAAAAAAAACGCUUGAUAAUAUAGAGACUAAAAACAUAUUUAAAAAAAAUUAUUUUGUACCGUGCAUCCUAUAAUAUUAAUGUUAUACUAUAUAUAACCAGAUUUUUAAAUAGAAUGUAUAGUACUCAAAUUCAAAUAUAUUUUAAAAUAUUGAAUUGUUUUCUUUUCUCAAGUUGUAGUAGAAUAAUGUAUUUUAUAUUGAAGAAAAAUCUUCUUAUAAAAUAAUAAAAUGGUAUAAUUAUAAUAUUAUAAAUAUAUUUUUUUAUUUUCUAUACUAUAUGUAUUAAUUAAUCACUUAUUAAUUAAGCUUAAAUUAUAUUUUAGAAUGUUAUAUAUAUAUAUAUAUAUAUAUAUAUAUAUAUAUAUAUAUAUUUGUUAUUUAAGAUUUAAAAAAUUAGAGCAUCCAGCAACUAAGUACAAUGGUCUACACCCACCCAUUUAUUCUCUCCGAGGUAGACAAUUAAUAAUUUAAGUUGACUUAAACAAUGGAUGAAAUAUUUCAAAUCUUUAAGUUCAAGCAUCUACAUUAACUAUCAUUUUGGAAAAGUUUAAGGUCUUCAAAUGAGAAAAAAAAAACAUGUUCUUUUUACAUAGAUUUUAACUUAUUGUCAAGACAAUACAAAACGAAUUCCAGAAUGUAUAAAGUUUAGGUGCUUAACUUAAGUUGAUUAAAGUAUCAGAUAAAAAAAAUUACAAAACAAUUGACUUGCUGCAUAAAUGACAACCUUAAAUAAUUAAUGUCAACAAAUUUAACUAAUGUUAAUUCAGACACCAUUUAAACAAUCUCUCCCUUUUUACAUUAUCUUUAUGUGAACUCAAAUACUUAUCAUUACUUAUAAUCUUAAUAUUUGAUUGGUUGAACUUUUAUUAGAUGAAUAAAGAGUUCUAGUGUAGAAUUGUCUUUUAACGUCAUCCCUUAGACGUAAGUUAAGCGGUGACCCGUCAUAAACUAAUGACCGGUGACACUUUCGUAAAUAAGCUGUUAAUAUAGACGUCAGUUAAGAGGGGUCCUGACGACUAUAAUAUUAUAGACGUCGGGGCCCUCAUAACCGAUGUCUAUAGGUCCUCAUAUACGUCGGCUCCCCCGAAUAGAUGCCAAAACUAAACGAAAAAGUUAAUAAAAAAUAAUUUUUUAUUCUAUUUAGACGUCUGUUAUGGGGGGAACGACUUCUAAAGCACUUUAGAUGUCACUUAUUUAGGGAACCGACGUCUAAACCCUAAACCCAAAAAUUUAAAAACUCAUUUUUUGGCUCCAUAUAGAUGUCUGAUCUCGCCACUCCGACUUCUAAAGCAUUUUCGACGUCUGUUAUUGGGAGAACCAAUGUCUAAACCUUAAACCCAAAAAUUUAAAAUCUCAUUUUUUGGCUCCAUAUAGACAUCUGAUCCCGCCACUCCGACUUCUGAAGCAUUUUAGACGUCAGUUAUUGGGGAACCGACGCCCAAACCCUAAACUCAAAAAUUUAAAAAGUCACUUUUUGGCUCCAUAUAGACGUUUGAUCCCGCCACUCCGACUUCUAAAGCACUUUAGACGUCUGUUAUUGGGGGAGCCGACGUCUAAACCCUAAACCCAUAAAUUUAAAAAGUAACUUUUUUACUCCAUUUAGACGUCUAUUAUGGGGGGAACCGACUUCUAAAUCACUUUAGACGUCUGUUACAGGGGAAUCGACUUCUAAAUGUCGGCAUUAAAAUACCGUGAUCGCGAGACAGCCGUUACGCGCACUCAUUGUUCAUCAUCUUCGUCGCGUUUUCUCUCUACAAGUUACACUUUUCAGGUUCGUUUUCUCACUUUUGCGCCGUUUUAAAUUAGUUUUACUCCGAUUACAUCAUUAUUUGAUGCAUUAUCUUUCAUUUGAACCGAUUAAAAUGCAUUUUCGUUGGGUUUUGGUGCACUUAUUCUCGUGUCCUUGGGCGACGUUCUUUGGCAGCGAUUUCUUGCGUUUUGCACUCUCCAAUUCCCUCCACUACAUUUUUAAAACCAUAUAAUAAAAAAAAUAUACAAUACAUUCUCUUCAACUAAAAUAUAAAGUUGUAAACUUAAAUCACCAUCAGACCUAUAUGGAUCAAACGUCUAUAUAGGCGUCUGACCUAUAUAGGUUCGACGUCUAUAUAAACGUCAGACCUAAAGGGUCGGACGUCUCAUUAACGUCACCCAUAUAGACGUCGGACAGAGAUAAAUUGUUAAAAACCCAAAAUAACAGACGUCUAAAGUCCUUUCUGCAUGUUGUAAAAUAAGUAUUCUAUCACGUGUUAAGAGAGAGUUAAUAUUGACAUUUAUUUAAAUGUAAAACAUAUAAAUUGUAUUCAAUUGAAAGUUUGUAUUGUGGUUUAAGUGAAAGUUGUAACGAGUUAUGUUAUUGAUAGAUUAAUAUGAAACAUGUAAAAUAUACAUAUACUUAAUAAUGUUAAGUUGUAAGUAAUAUGAAACUAUGUACCUUGUGUUUUCAGAUUUUGUUGUGGUAUCACACAAACAUAAAUAGAGUUUGAAAAUGUGAUGAUAAGUACUUUUAAGCAUGACAUUUAUAAAGUAAUAAAAUAAGAUAUUUUCCUUUUUCUAAUGAAUUACUCACAAAUGAAAUUGUAUGUUGUGAGAAACUAGAAAAAGAUUAUUGUGUAACACUCCGGCAACUUACAGGGACUGUUGACUGCCCUUACACAUCACCAUGAGACUUUCCAAUGUGCUUUGCCCUCACUCGCACACUUUCUGGGAAAACUUCCCGAAAGGUCACCCAUCCCAGAAUUUCUCCAGGCUAAACACGCUUAACCAUGAAGUUCUUAUGGGUUAGACUUCCGAAAAGUAAAUACAUUUUGGUGAUAUGGGUAGCCAAAUCAAUUCCUUUAAGCUAUCCUUCAACUGUAUAGUCUCAUACCUAUACUUAACCAUGAAAUUCUUAUGGGUUAGGCUUCCAAAAAGUAAAUGCAUUUCGGUGAUAUGGGUAGCCAAAUCAAUUCCUUUAAGUCAUCCUUCAAUUGUAUAGUCCCAUACCUAUACAGUCUCCAAAUCCCUCUCAUUCCAGUGUAUGUUCGAUUCGUCCAUGUGUCCCUUCCACUAGAAGCCUGCCAGGAACUGCUCUUUGUCUGUGUCCCCUGCACCAUGCCUCUUGCACCGGCGAUCACUCUCUGCCCUUGUCAGUGUCCGAGUGUUACAUAUUGCAUCAUCAUUUUCUAUAACAUCUAAGCAAUUAUUGGUAUACUAUUGGUUUUUACCAUACAUGUUUUUUUUAUAGAUCAUGCCUUAGUUUAUAUUGAAACAUAUUUAUUGUAGUAAUACAUUUAUAUUAUAAUGAUUAAAACAUGUUAAUUAAAUGAUUUGUAGGUGAAUAGUGAAUGCUAAACAAAAAGUGACCGCUAUGAGUAUUUCGAAAAUAAUUAAAACUUUUGAUGCAAAAAGUUAAGGUUGGUGAUCACAUUUCUAUAUUUAAAUUGAUAUUUCCAAUUUUAUUAUGUACAAGAAAAAAGACAUGAGAAAGUGAAAAGAGACGUUAUGUAAAACAAUAUAUAUAUAUAUAUAUAUAUAUAUAUAUAUAUAUAUAUUUCUUUUACAAUUUCAUCAAUAUAUUAUAUUUCAUUCUCAGAAAGAUUUGAAUUACUCUUACAUUAAUUAGUCGGGAUAAAUGAGUUUUAUUAUUAUUAAAAUAAUAAGAUAAAACUUUUUCAUCAUGAACUCUUUUCACCCCAAGAUUAAACCUUUAACUAUAACGUCAUCAAAUUUUCAAAAUUUAUUAGAAAAAAUUUAUAUCUUACAAUAAUAAGAAUAAUAACAAAUUAAUAUUAUUUGAUGAAAGUAUAAAAGUUAAGAAAAAUUACGAGAAAAAGAAAAUAUUUAUUUAUCAAUAAAAUAAAAUGAAUGAAUAUUAAGAUUAAGAAAUAAUCUAUAAGCAAGCAACUAUUGGUAUACAAUUCUUUCUAUUAAUUAAACUGAAGAAAUUGAUAAUGCAUUUAAUUAAAUAAUUUUUUAAAUUGUUGUGAUUGUAGGUGGUAUGUUUGUUUAAUUGUUGAUGAUAUAUUUAUGUAUAUCCAAUAGUUGAACGAAAGAGAAUAGAAAUACUAAUUUAUAUUGUUAUUAUUUUUUAAUGAAAGUAUACAUGCUAUGUUAAUAGAUUUUUUUAAAAUAUUCGUAAUUUUGUAAACGGUUUGGUGAGUGUUGUUGCAUUAAUAUAUUGUUUGUACCUACAGCUAGGUGUUACACCAUCGACAUUAAUCAAUUUUUGUUACUAGGAAGCAAUCACAAAUACUCAUUAUCCUUUAUUGUUUCAUCUUAUACUUCCAAGACUUCAUCGUGCACCUCCGACUUUUUCAAAAGAUUUACUUUUAACUGUAAUAAAUAUCUUUUUUACUUUUCACUUUCUAUUUAAAGUAAUCUUAUAUCUUUAUCUUUGCAUGUUUUUAACAAAAUUUUAAUAUUUUUAUCUUUUAUUUAUAACUUUAUAACUAUUUAAUUUAAUUUAAAAACCAAAUAUUAUUUAAUAUAUUUUUGUAUUUUAAUAAUUAAUAAAAUAUAAUUUUUUUUCGUUUAAAAUAAAUUAUUAUUAAAUUUUAAAUAGAAAAUAAAAUUUGAGAAAAAGUUAUCGGAUAUACAAAAGUUUUUAAUAAAUUUGUUUAUUAUUUAUAAUUUAUUAAUUAUUUAAUUUAAUUUAAAAAUUUAAUAAUAUUUAAUAUAUUUUACAUUUAAAUAACAAUUAAAAUAUAAUUUAUAUUAUUGUAGUUGUAAUAUUAAAAAUAUUAAAAAACUAAUAAUAAUUAAAAAACAUAAAAUUUUUCGAAUCCUAUUUUAUUAAUUUAAUAUUUUAAUAUAAUUUAGUAUUUUUAUAUAUAUUAAAUAAAUUUUUAUAUAAUUGUUUUUAUUUUUAUUAAUUUUAUUUUAAUUAUUUUAAUUUUAAUUUUAAAAAUAUAAGUGUUAUAUAAAAAAUUAAAUUAUUUGGAAUUUUAAAUAAAAAAUAAAUUUUUUUAAAAAAAGGUCAUCGGAUAUUGAUAUCCGAUAACACAUUUAUCAGAUUUCCAAUUCCGACAGGAAUGUUUUCAAAUAUUUUUUAAUUUAUAUUUUAUUAAUUAUUUAAUUUAAUUUAAAAAUUUAAUUUAAUUUAAUAUAUUUUAUAUUUAAAUAAUUAUUAAAAUAUAAUUUAUAUUAUUAUGAUACUAAUAUUAAAAAAUUUAAAAUAAAAAUAAUAAUAAUUAAGAAAUAUAAAAAUUUUGAUAUCCUAUUUUAUUAACUUAAUAUUUUAAUAUUAUUUAACUAUAUUUAUAUAUUAAACUAGUUUUUAUAUAAUUAUUUUUAUUUUAACUUUUGUAAUGUACCUAUUAUAUAAAAAUUAAAUCAUUAUUGAAUUUCAAAUAAAAAAUAAAAUUAAAAAAAAAAGUUAUCGGAUAUUGAUAUCCGAUAACAUAUUGAUAUCCGAUAACAUGCUCAUCGGAUUUUUAAUUCCGAUAACAUAGUUAUCGGAUUUUCAAUUCCGAUAAUAAUGUUUAAAAAAAUUUGUUUCUUAUUUUUACUUUAUUAAUUAUUUAAUUUAUUUUAAAGACUUAAUAUUAUUAAUUUAUUUUAUUUUAAAUAACUAUUAAAAUAUAAUUUAUAUAAUUUUAGUACUAUUAUUAAAAAAUUAAAAUAAUAAUAAUUGGAAAAUCUAAAAAUUUCGAAAUUUGAUUUCUUGAUAUAAUAUAAUUUAAUAUACUUUAUUAUAUUAAAUCAGACUUUUUGUAAUUAUUUUUAUUUUUAUUACUUUUAUUUUAAUUAUUUUANUUUUAAUUUUAGUAAUAUAAUUAUUAUAAUAAUAUAAAUUAUAUUUUAAUAAUUAUUAAAAUAUGAAAAAAUAUUAAAUAAUAUUAGAUUUUUAAAUUAAAUUAAAGAGUUAUUAAAAUAUAAAUAAAAGACAGUUUUGAAAAAAAUUAAAAAAGGAUACAGAGUUAAAAAAUGUAGGAUUAUUCUGAAUAGAAAAAAAAAAGUAAAAAGUAUAUUUACAAAAGUUAAAAAAUAAAGUUUUGAAAAAGUUAUAAAUAUAAGAUUAGGUAUUGGAGGUGCAGGAUGAAACCCCUUACUUUAAAUAGAAAGUGAAAAAUAAAAAGAUAUUUACUAAAAUUAAAAGUAAAUUUUUAAAAAAGUUGGAGGUGCAGGAUGAAACCUUUGGAGGUGUAAGAUGAAACACCCUUAUCCUUUUGGCAUUGAGCUGAAAAGGUUUGGGUGUUGCUCCCUGCACCUCCCCAUUUGCUUCCUACACCUCCCCAUUCCCUUUAUACCCUUCAGUCUAUUUUUCUAUUCCUAUUUUAUCCUUUAGUAAAAGUUUAUAUUUAGGGUAAAAAUUUUAUGAUUUCAGUUCUUCACCCCCACACAACCUAUGCAUUCAUUCUUACUCUUUUUUACUCUUUCUUUUUAGAAAUUCUAUGAAAAUGUGGUGAGUGAGAAAUUGUUUUAAAAAGAUUGGUUGAAGAAUUUUCUUUGGAAUAACAAAGUUUAAUUUUGUGUAUGGUACAGUGAUGGUGCUCAGACCUUACAAGAUGAGGUACGUAACCUUGUAAACAAAUAUGGACAUUCAUCGCCGGAUGUCAACAUCCGUUUAAGACAAAAUGGAUGUUGAGAUCCGUUUGGCAUAAAUAUUUAUUUUUGUUUAUCUUUUAUUCAUCCACUUUGUGUCUACGUCUCCAUAUAUUAUAAUCAUAACACUGACAGAUUAACUCAUUACUCCAUUGCAUAUGCGCAAUCAUCAGAGGGAAAAAAGAUGAAACUCUCUGCAAAGGUAAUUUCAUUUCGUAUUCNCAGUGGAGUAUUGAUUAUACANGCUAUGAUGCUUUUCUAUACCUCAUUUCAGUCAAGACUGCUGCAUGUAUAUAUUAUAAAUACAAAUUCCUUUCGGUGGAAAUGUUUUUAAGAAUAAAUAAUAUACAUUUAUAUAUUAUCAUCUAUUAAAAAUNAUUAUUCCUAUAAUUUUUUUCCUUUGUAUGAUAAUUAUCUGGAAAAGUAUAUCAAAAAUGUUUUUUACUUACUGCCAUGAAAUUUUUUAUACGACAAAUACAUAUUAGAUUCUAAGGUAAUAUUAUUGCCUCAUCCAAUAAUUUUUUACAUAAACUUUGUAUAUCCACUGUAUAUUUUACCUUUCUAUCUCUCUUUCUUUACAGAUACAAAAUUAACUUUUCUAAUGAUUAAAAUAACAGUGGUAGAAAAAAAAUAAAGAAAAUAGAAGUAUUUGUAUUGAGAAUUGCAGUGUAGUUAAUGACUAAUAUUCCUACAAAGGAGUGUCAUUGAUAGAAAACCACAACAAAAAUAAAGAAAAUAGAAGUAUUUGUAUUGAGAAUUGGAAAGUCCUCUGUCCAAUUUAUGGUCGAGAUGGACUUCAAACUGGGCUUCUUACAAGACGAAAAUAGAAAUUAGAAGACAGAAACUUAGUAUCCAAUUCUGAGAAGAACCAGCUCCUUACUUUGAGAACCAGGACCCACUAUGAUGGCUUACAACUUGUCUGUAAGUUAUUAAACAUUGAAACAAAAUAACCCAUCAACAAAAUAAACAGCAUCAUACAAGAAUUAAACAGAUUUGAAGGCUGCAAUCUAACAUCCAUUAACCAAAAGAAUGGUAUCAAUAAAUAAAGCAUAGCAAGUAUUAACGCAUAACACAAUAAAUGUAGUAUUAUAUAAUAUUUUAGAAAUAAUACAUCAAAUUACCACUUACCAAACUCUUUAGUCUCUCUCGCUGAAAUAGCUCUCUAUCAAUUAGACGUCGACGGAUGUCGACAUCUGUUUCAAGGCCAAACGGAUGUCGACAUUCGUUCUGACCUGAGCAGUUCACACAGCAGCGACAAGAAGCACACACAACAGCGAUAACAUGCACAGUAAAAUCAGUAAAAUCAAAGGUGAUGGAUACUAAAGGAGAAAAAAAACGAACACACCUGGAUGGAAGUAAAAAGAACCACCACAGCAACAGACGCACCACCACGAACAAUAAGAACCCACCGCACGCACCGCACCACCGCACCCCGCACCACCUCACCUCACCACCACUCAGAGCAAAGGUGAAGUGUGAAGGAUGAAGGAGAAUGAUGAAAGUCAGAGGAAGAGAGGCAGAUGUAUUGGGGGGGGUGGCUGCGAGAGAGAAAAAAUGAAUAUUUAGGGUUUGGUAAAUAAAGUUAAAAAUAAAAAUGUCAAAAGGUUAAAAAGGUAAAAUAAAAGGAUAUUUUUGUAAUUAAAUAAAAAUUAUAAAAAAUUGGGGAGGUGGAGGAAGAAAAUGGGGAGGUGGAGGGAGUAACUCCCGAAAGGUUUUCAUGGAAUGGGCCGGAUGUACAUACCUCAAAAAGCCCAACACUAUUUCUAUACAUAAGUUUUGGACGCUUCUUUCUACACUCCACAUUUUUCUUUCUGCAUCUCUAAGCUUUUUCUUUUUUUCCCAUUUUAUCCUCUUUAUAACAACAAAUCGUAUAACAUGAUAUGGAAGAACUAAUUAGAUAAAAAAAAUUCAGGAGAUGUAUUGUGAACUAGAACUAGAAAUACGGUUUUUUUUUUUAAAAGGAUAGUUGUCAGAUUUCAGAUACAUUUUAUCAGAUUUUCAAAUUUGAUAACCCUUACAAAAAUCAAAUUUUACAAUCCAAUAUUAAAAAAAAAUUACAUUUAACUAUAUUUUAAAAUUUGGUAAAAAAAUCAUGUAUAAAUAUAUUUUAAAAUUCAGUAAAAAAAAUUAAACAUAACUAAAUUUCAAAAUUUGGUAAAAAAAAAAAUACUUUUUAAAAUUUAGUAGAAAAAAAUUGACACUUGUUAUAAUAAAUAAAGUUCGAAUUUCACCAAGCCAUCCAAAAAAUUAGACUUAAACGAGUUAUUGGUAUAUACGACUAUUUAACAGCCAUCACUUAACUAAAGAUAAAAAUUAAAUUAAUAAUUACAACUAAUCAUCAUCUUCUGAGGAAUUUCACAAUUUUUAAAAAUAUUUAAAUAAAUUAAAUUUAUAUUUAUCUCAUCUAAAAUCAUUUCUUAAUAUUGAUAAUUUUUUUUAAUCAAACUUGAUUGAUGCUAUUUUUAAUUAAAAUUUAUUUAAAAAAUCUAAUAAAAAAAUUCAACUAAUUUUAAAAAACCUUAAUUCUCAUUUGAAUAAUAUUCCAGACAUUAUUUAAGAAAACUUUAAUUCAUAUACAGCAAAAAUGAUAGUAUUUUAUAAUAAUAAUAAUAAAAAUAAUCUUAAUAAUAUAAAUAAUAUUUCUUUUAACAUCAAUAAUGAAAUUUUAAUCAAUAUUCAUAAAGAAAAAUGAUCUACCGAUUUUAUAUAAAAAUCUUAACUAACAUGAGAAGUAAUUUCAAUAUAAAAUAAAUAAAUAAACGUAAUUGAUAUUAAAAAGUUAUAACAUUUUAAAUUAACCUAAAACAACAGUUAUCAUAAAUUAUAAAACAAGUUUGUUUGAAUUUAGUUGAAAAAUACAUUUAAAUAGAGAUGUCACUGUUCACCUUAUGUGCUAUGAUGCUCUCGAGACAAUUGUUCAUCUGUUUUCAUUUUUUUUUUUAUUUGAUAUCCAAAUUCGAUUAAGUGUGAGAUAAUUUUUGUUUAUAAGAUUUCAAAGUUUGAUUAAAUGCAAAUUUUUUUAUUUACCUAAUUUCGAAAUUUGAGAUUGUGUAUAUUUUUUUUUAUCGAAUUUUGAAACAGAGUUAUGUAUGAAUUAUUUUUUCUUAUCCAUUUUGAUAUCCGAUUUAAUGUAAAUCUAUGAUUUUUUUUUUUAUUUACUAGAUUUGAAAAUAUGAUAGUUUAGUUGUAGUUUGAGUUUUGAAAUCCAACAACUACACUUCUAAAAAAAUUAACUGAAUUUCUUGUUUCAAUUCUUAUCCCAUCUUCCAAAUUUUUUGAUCUGGUUAAUUAUCUCAUAUUAUAUUAUCCAAGAUUGCUAUUAUGAAAUGAAUAAAAUGAAAAAAAAAAGGAAAAAGUUUAGAAGUACAAGAAGAAAACCUAGGAUUGGAAGAAAUGCCCUAAGUUUGUCUUUACUAAUUGCCUGACUUCCUAAAGAAGUGUAAGGCUAGAAGAAGGGAUUUCUUUCUACACCUCACUUUCAUUCACUUAUCUAUCCCUUAUUACAAAAGUUUAUACUCCAUAUUUUCUUCCAAAUUUACAUUACGAAUCUUCUUAUCUUUUAGAUUUACAUUAUAAAUUAUAGAAUUCAAAAUGUAAAUUUGUAUUAUAAACUAUCAAAAUUAUAUUUUAUAUUUUAAUUGUCUUUUAAAUUUGUAUUAUGAAUUAUACAAUAUUUAAUGUUAAAUUAUAUUACAGUUUGUGAAAUGUAUUUUAUAUUACAAAUUGCUUUUCAAAUUUGCAUUAAUUCAAAAUAUAAAUUUGUAUUAUAGAUUGUAUAAUACAUAAUAUAAUUUAUAUUUUUCAAAUUUGUAUUACAUAUUAUACAAUCUAAAAUGUAAAUUUACAUUAUGAAAUUAAUUUGCAUGUCAGAAUAUCUUUCAGAUUUAUAUUAUGGAUUGUAUAAUCAAAAUAUAAUUUACUUCUAAAUUAUGUUUCAUAUUUGAAUUAUAAAUUGUACUAAUACAAAAAUAAUAUUUUAUGACGUACAAAAACGAUUUAUGAUAUACAUAAUUUUGUAUAUUAUAAUAGGUUAGUUUCUAUGACUCGAAUGACGUUUAACCGUUUCAGAAUAUUUUGAAAAUAAAAUCUCUUUUAAUCCAUUUCUUCUAUACUAUAAAUAUUUAAAGAAUGGUCAGCUUUAUUCAUUUUCUCCAUCACCGUCUUCAAAAAAAUGACAAAUUCUCGAUUGUUAUUGCUGGACUUUGGAUUCGCAGUUUCAAUUACAUAUGACAAAUUUAAAUUUAAAUUUCUGUCGGUUGCAACAGUUACCUUGCAAAAGUUUAAAUUUCUCCUACGGUCUUAUACCAACUAUAUUCUUAUGAUGUUUUAUCGUGAUAUUAUUUCAUAUUUAGUACUAUAGUGUAUGAUUCUGUAUGUUAAAUUUGGAGUAGUGUAAAGUGUAUAAAGGUGUAAAAAUUACUGUGUAUUGUGUUGGAAAAGUGAGGAAUAUGGAGUUAUGCCAUACGUAAAAUACCAAAAAAUUAUUACAAGAAACAAACAAGUGUGAUUUGAACAGAGAUGAGCAGAGAAAUAUAAAUGAAUAAAACAGGAAAAGAAAAAUUCCCAUUAACCUUUUCUCCCUCAAUCUUCUUUUGGAUGGAAUAUAUUCUCCAUGAACGUAACUACAGUGCACUCUGCUUUACUAGAUCAUUCAAGAUAGGAUCAUUAUUGAAUUGGGUAUAAUAACUGUAGUUACAACUUUUUGCAACAAAACAAACUAUAUAUAGUAUACUUCCAUUAUUUUUCUUCUUUUCUUCACUUCACUAAUGCUGUCUCCAACUUCUUCAACCUUGUUUGCCUUUUGGAAACAAAACCUAAACAACAAACUAAUUAAGGCAAGAGAAGGGAUGUAUACUAUUUGUUUUCUCGCAUGAUAUGCAAAUAAAGGACAAGAACUAAAAUUUAUUCUAAUAAAAUUUAUUAUUUAUUAAACAUAGUGUAUUACUCAUUAGCAGAUUAUUCACUAAUAUAUAAUCUCUUGUAUAAAGAUGUAUAUAAUCAAAAUAAGAAAUGUGACCAAAAUAAAAAAUGCUUUGAAAAUUUCACAUUAAUUUUAUAGUAAUUUUUUUUAUCUAGAUUAAGGAUAAUAUUGUUUCUACGUAAUAUGAUUUUAUAGAGAUUUUUUAGGUUAUUAUUAUUUAUUUAUUCGACAAAUAUUAAGAUAUAUUUUAUUUUAGAAAUUAUAUAAUUCAUUAUACUUCUUUAAUAGAGAUAGAUAGAUAGAUUUUAAUUAUAUUGCAUAAAAACCAACGGCCCUAAGUACAUAUAUUAUGGAAUUACAAAAUUUUGCAUAACAAUUCAUAUUUUUUUACUUUUAAUUAUUUUAUAGAGUAAAUUAAAAAAAAAAGAGGCUUAUUUUGAUUGAAGGAUUCCUAACCUUGUUACCACUGUAAGUUUAUGAUUUAUUUAUAGUAACUUAAUUCUCUUUCAAUCACAAUAUUACUCUUAACGAGUCGUUUUACAUUAUAACAUUAAUUAUAGUUCAAAUUUUAGAAAGAAAAAAAUCUUUCUUUCUUCCAGAACAUUUUUAAUUAAAAAAGUUUAAAGUAAGAAAUACAACCCUAUUUAAAUACAAACCUGGAACCAUUUCUUUUACAGGGUUUAAUGUUGAUGAAGUAGGGGUUGAAUAAUGAAAGAGCUUCCCAUAUCCAUGGAAGGAACAAAUUACGUAAGCAAUAUUUUCUCGACAAUGGUCACACCAAACAAAUGGUUGUGGGCAACAACAAUAAUUAUCCAAUAAGGAAAUGAUGUAUGCAAUAGCAUGUAUUUUAUUUUGGAUACUAUUACUUUUACACUUAAACAAAUUUUUACACACAUUUUAUAUUUAUUAUUUUAUCUUUUAAUAUAUAUUUUUUUACAAUUAUAAAAAUUAGCUUAUUCAAUUACUAAAAUACUUUAAAAGUGGAUUGUGAAAUGAUGAAAAAAGAAAAACAAUUUGGUUUUAUUUGUGUUACGAGAUGUAAUAGUCUCUUUAAAGACACACUAACACAAGUUUGAGUCCAACUACAUUAAUUUGUUUUCUCCUUAGGACCACUGAUUCCAACACAAUCAAUUUGUCCCUGUUUCCCUUCAGAACGUGGGUCCAACUUUAUCCCCUCCUCUUAUUUCGGUGCAUUCCAUGGCCCAUAACAAAACCCUAUUCUAUUCACCUCAACCCUUUCCAUUUUAGACAAUUAACCUUAUUUAUUUAUAUAGAAAAAACUUCUUUUAAUAAUAUUUUAUUAAUAAUUUUUUUACAAUACGUCAAUUUAUGAUUGAUCUAUUUUAAAUAUCUUUUAAAUAUAAAUUUAAAUAGAUCAAUAAAAUAAUAACAAGUAUUCUCCUUAUAAAAAAAAUUGUCAAAUCAUUAUCCUUGUUUAUACUCACAAAUUUAACACAUUUCUACUUCUAAAAUCACUUCGCUACUCAAUCCAAUGGAAAAAGUUCCCACCAACUUAUAUUGCAUGUUCAGUUAAAGUUAUUUUGCGAUGAUAAGCAAGCGCAGAUCUGAGAAGAUUGAUUAUCUUGUUUGUUUUAAUCCAAGGAGGAAUUCUCUUAAAUUUACUGAGAUAACAUCCCUAAAUUCAUGGACGUGACCUCAUUGAAUGCCCCCUUAUAGAAUUUUGUCCCUAAUACAUUGAUGAGGGACAUGUGUUUCCAUGUUGCGGUGUGAGACUUGGCACGAAACUUUCGGACUAUUUCAGUUCCAUAGUCGGCCAUUAAUUUCCAUGAAGGUCCACAGCUUCACCUAACCAGACAACACUAAGCCUACUUUGCUCCCUAUAUAUUGUACCCUCAUAUCAUACACAAACAUUUUAUAAAAAUUAAAUAAUUCAUAUAUAUAUAUAUAUAUAUAUAUAUAUAUAUAUAUUGCUAUAGUUCUUUUAGCUGGUUUCUAUUCUAUCCUCCCUCCCUGAGAAGCAGUUUCAAGGUCUCAGAAAGAAUUUUCCUAGUCUCUCCAAUUUUAUUUCAUUGAAUAAAAGUAGUACUAUUGCUUCAUGUUGUCUCAUUUAUUGCUACAUGCCACCAAAAGCCUAACGCAAAUAUCAUUCCCAACAGCCAAAUCUUGAAGCACAUGACACUGCAUUUACUCCCUCAAUGUUUCCGCACACACCGCCCUCGUUUUUCAUAGUUCCUUCCUACACUACCGUUUCCACGCUUUCACACAUUCUUCACAAGCAACCCACUCUUGCCACUUCAGUCACCCCAUCAAUUCCUUCAUUUAUUAAGAAUGUCUGAAACUCAAACCAUCUUAUAGCAUUUCAUCCCCUCCAUUCAUUAUCCUCCCUUUUCUCUCUCUCUCUCUCUCUCUCUCUCUCUCUCUCUCUCUCUCUCUCUCUCUCUCAUUGUUCUAAAGGAAUUAAACUCCUUUAAUGGAUAGAAGAUAUCUCAACUUGGUCCUGGUCACGCUGAUGCUUUUGGUUGUUGGCCAUAGUUAUGGUUCUAGACACACGUACCAAGUUUUCAAAGUGCAGCCCAAGGGUGAGACCUUGCCUCCAAACUUCUUUGGUUUCUUGCCAAAAGCAAUGCCAAUCCCUCCUUCAGGACCAUCUAGGAAGCACAACGACAUUGGAUUACAAAGCUCAACGCGGAAACCAUAGAGGGACAUGUAUUUUAUGUGUUCCUUCUUUACCAUUCCAGAAAAUUUAAGGGUAAUGUAUAAGAUAUGAUGCCUUAAUUAUUUAUAUUUUGCUCUUACCCUCUUUGGUUUACUUCCCUCCUUUGUUGCUACUACUUUUUAGAUCAUUUUCAAGGACAAGACAGUUUCAAAAUGAACUGUUAAAGUAUAUAUAUGUAGAUUAAUUAGGUGAUUAUUACCACCUUCUCCACAUAUGUAUGUAUAUCUGGGCAAGCUUUAGCUAUUUUCAUAUACUUUGUGAUAGAAUAGAUCCUUUGAGGGUUCAAAGCAAGAAAUGUUUUGUGGUUUGGCUUGUACUUGAAAGCAAAGAGAAAAAAAGGUGGCAAACCUUGCAAAGUUGAUGUGUGUCUACUUCUGCUUCUGUUUCUUUCAAGUAAGCUUUUGGUUUGGUAUAAACGCAUGCAAGCUGGCAUUAUUCUUCCUCUGGGGGAAAGAAAAGUGGAACUUUCAACUAAUAUUGUUUUUGAAGGAUUCAGUGAAUGGAUAUGUACGUCGACACGUAUCAUGUCUGUUAUUAGAUUAAUUAAGAGUUGGAAAAGAAGUUGCAUCUUUUUGAUUCCUGUGGCUUCUAAACUCUGCUUCUGUUCUUCUAAACUUGGAAGUUUCUUUGAAUCAUUCUGGAGUUUCAGUGCGUGCAAAACUCAUAACUACUGUAGCUAGGAGUGACCAUACAUUCUCAUAGACUUUAGGGAAGUGACGUGAGAAUCGUGUCCAUUUUUUGCGUUUUGAUUUGGCUUUAGUUAGUAGCUAAUAAAUGUUCGUACAUUUCUUAGCCACCCUACACUAUACACUGCACCCCCUGCAGCUUCAAAAUUCAACGUGUGAUUUGUGUCAUUCUGGAUAAUUAAAAGUGAUCGAUGACUUAAAGUUUGAUUUUGUUUAUAAUUGCAAAGUUUAUUUGUUAAAAGUUUCAUAAUGUUGUGUGGUGAAAGUUUUAGGAUCUUGGAAAAAUUGUACGAUGAUUAAUAUGAUGAUGGGAUUGUAGAGAAUGAAGGUUAUUAUGUCUAAGUUGGUGUGGAUAACAUAAAAAAAGUCUUAAUUGCAACUAUAUGGGACAAAACAAAAUAUUCCACAUGUUAGAUUUAAGAAAAAAUUGAUCUUGAUGAGUUGUUUUGUUGGGUUUUUCAGUUAAAAGCCAAUUGAAAAGAAAUUAGUUCCAUAAAAUGUUAAUUGUGUUGGGUGGGUAAGCUGUUUCAAAUCAUGUCAAAUCAUCAUAUCGUGAUUUCAGACCUAGCUUUGAAGCCAUGUGAAAGCCAUUAUUAAUAAGGAUGGCUAGUCAAAUUUUGAACUUUGUCUUAAUAAGGAAAUUAUAUCGACUUUUUCUUCAGCCUUUUAAGGAAAAUUCUUUAACAAUCUCCUUAUUAAUUAAAUACAACCAUAAGAGAAAAUAUGUAUUUUUUUUUAAAUAAACCACUUUAUGUAUCCCAGAAAAGAAUUGUCCCAGUAAUUUAAAUAUUAUAAAAAUUAUGUAAAUAUGUUUCUAAAGUUUGUUAACAUAAGUUAAACGAUCGAGAUAGAAAUCCCAAAACAAAAACAAAAUAAGAAUAAUUUAAUAAAUUUGCUUUAAAAGUUAUUUUUAUGUUAACGUUAAAAAUGAGUCUCACAAUCUUAUUAUUUUCUCUGCUUCAAGUUUGUAUAUGUUAGUUAAUUUUUUUUAAUAGUCUGUUCUUUAUUAUUGACAUUUAAAAAAAUUAUUAAAAUUAACUCUUUUUAAUAGAAUUUUAAUACUUUUUAAAAUCCCGUUUUCUUAAAUUUUUUUUACCCGACUUAUUCUAAUGAGAAGUCCAACAUAAAAACAGACCAAACAUUAACGAAUAUAAUGUCUCAAACUAAAUUGCAGUUUUUUUUUAACGUAAAUUUAAUUAUGAAGUUAUUUGAGUAUAAUUUUGUUUAUUUUCCAAGGCAAUCGAAAAAUUAUUAUUGAUAUAAUUUUAAGAAAAUAUAUUAUCAAUAUCAGCAAACUUAUCAUAUAUGAUAGAUAAUUCGUUUUUAGAUUAUAUGCUAAAAUUGUUUUAUAAUGCACAACUUAUUUCUUUAAAAGAAAUUCUUUUAUCAAAAUUAUUAAUGUCUAGAAAUUAAAACUUUUAACAUUCCUUGCGUGAUUAAUUAAGUGUUAAAAUAACAGUAAAAAUAUAAAACGACUCAUACUUCAAUUGUUUGAAUGUAAUUAAAUAAUUUUUCUGUGGGUUUAACGAUGACUAUCUUUCUCAUAUUUCAGCUACCUUGGUAUGAAUUAAUGUGGUAUAAAUCGAAUUUAUUAUUUUAAAAUUUAUAUUCAAUCAUUUAAUUUAUCAAAUUAUUGGAUUCGUGUUGUUUAGAUUAGGAGUUAAUUCAGUGAAAUUUUUAGAAUACAAAUUUAUAUUAAAUUAAAUUUUCAAUAAAAAAUUUAUUUUUAUUUUAAAUGAUUAUUAUCAUAAUAGACUAUAAUUUUAUAUAAAUUACUAUUAAUUAAAUUUUAACAAGAUAAUUGCAUAUUAAAAAUAAAAUUUAAAAUUUAAAUGUUUAUAAAUUUAUAAUUAAAAUAUAAAUUUAAGUAUCUAUGAAAUUUCAAACGGUUACCUACAAUAAUGAUUUAUUUUACUUAACUUUAUUUAUUCAAGAUUACCUUAAUUACAUGUUUAUACAAUCCAUUAUAAUUAUGUAUUCAAAUUUCCUUCAUAUUUCUUCAGUUUCAGUUGGAUAUGAAAUUUUUCUCAGCCCUAGUAACUUGCAGUGAAAAGCGAAAGGGGUGACUUUUGCACCUUUAAACGUGUGUGUUAAGCAACUUAAAAAUAAGAAAAUGAUAAUAAUAAUAAUAUAAAUAUAAGAUUUGACAUAUAUAAACCAAAUUGAGAUUUGUUUUUUUACGUAUUUAAGCGUGAGUUGAAACUUUACAUUAUAUUGAAAUAAAUAAAAUAAAAUAACAUAUAAAUAAAAAACCAUCACAAAUUUGUUAUCUUUAAGAUUUUAUAUAUUAAUAAAUAUAUUUCCAGUUUCCCUUUGAAUAUAUAUACAUAUGAUAAACUUAAUUUUUGUUGUAUUAAUUAAAACAAUGGCUCAGUUAAAUACACUUAUAAUUGUACUUUUCAAAAAUAGAAGAGUGAUAAAACAAGAUAUUACUUUUCAAGUCAAGAUUACAAAUUUGCUUAAUUGCUCAACUAAACUAAUCUAUACUUUUUAAUAUUCAAACUACAGAUAAUACAUAAAAUUUUAUUAAAUAAAUAUAAAAAUACAACUUCAUAAUAUGAAAUAUAAAAUAAAGUAUUAUUUUUAGUUUUUUUUUUUUUAAUUCAAAGAAUAAAUACAAAUAUAAAUCGAAUAUGUCAUAGUAGUCAUGUUUAAAUUUUAAUACAAUACAACAAUGCCCAUUAACCAAUAACCAUAUUACAUCUAAAAAUUGAAGAAUUAAUAUAAACACAGAUAUAACAAAGUUUAUAAGUAUGACAUAGAAUUUAAAUUCAAAACCAUUAUUUAAGUUAAAACAACUUUGACCCAUUGAUCUAUUCAUACGAUCCUAAUCACAACCUUAAAGAAAAAUAAAACCAAGUUUUGCAAUGUCAUAAAAUCUGGUUUUCUUUGGGUAGUUUUACUUUCUUGACAUACUGAUCAUGCAUAUUGAAAACAUGAACUAAGAUGACACAUAUCUACCCUAUUUUUAAUUACUUUAUACUUUAUAUAUCCCUAAUUUUCAGAUUCUUCGUAUCUAUUUAUUUGAAUCCACCAUACACCUAACCAUGAAAUGAAACCUAAUAAAGUCAAGAAUCUUGUUGACCGUCAUUGAACUAAUAAGUUGACUUCAUUCAUGAUUCAUAAAAGUGUCUCUUGUUCAUUAUAACAACCUCUUUUCUGAAUUUCAUGCAAAUCAAUGACAAAAUAUAUGAUAAUAUCAAACUAGAAAAGUUUUGUAGUGUUGUUAAUGUCUUUAUUAGGUAGUUCUUUUUAUGUUCAGUGUUUUGGCUUCCAAUCAGAACGUUUCUACCUGGUGAAUGAAUAAUGUAACUUAGUUUAUUCUGUAUGAAUUGGAGGUGUAGUUAGUAAGGCAAUGUUCCAAACAGAGGAGACAAACAACAUACGAUUCUCCAAAGAUUUCAUAUAGCUAUGAACGAUGAAUAAGGAAAUUAUAUUUGUUGUCAGAAGAGGAUUUCACACUCAUCUAGUCAUAGGGUGUACGUGUUUAUAGUUUUUCUUUCCCGAAAUUAAAUCUAUUUGGAUGGAUUUAAUUAUACUGUGCUGAUGGAAUAAAAAGAUCAUUAAGAUUGUCAUUAAAUUAUUUAUUAUUAAAUAUGAUUAGAUUUGAAUUUGUUGAUUUUUAUAAUAAUUAUUUUAAACUUAGUAUUUAGCAGCCUUUAAUUAAUUGAUAAUAUAAUUAUUAUACUUAUUCAGCGUGAAAAUUAACUUACAUUAACCAGGAAAUAUUUUUUUGUGACAAGUAAUUGUGCAACAGAGUACAAAAUGUACUCCCUGUAGAAAAAAUUAAAUAAUAAUUUACAAGAAAUAUGAGCACGCAUACAUUUUAUUCCUGAGGUAUACAUGUUGAGGUAAGAAAAAAGGUGCAACAGGGAGAAAAUAACCAAGAAAAUAGGAAGGUUAUCUGAACUGAUGAUUUUAUAUACACUACAAUACACUGAUAUAUGUGAAGGGCACUUGCCCUAAUAAAAUGGAAGACAUAUUUCACUUGAGAGGGAACAAAAAGAUUUGAAGAGACAAUGGUUUGAUUCCUACAAACCUCACUGUAACAAAAAGUGUUAAUGGAGAACUUCCCUCCAUCUACUUCCCUAAGAUUAUAAAACAGGUGAACCACCACCAUCUGCCUUACGUGCCCCUUGGCCGGAAGAUUUGUCGCUGCUUCGAACGUUGUACCUCUCGUAUACCCUAUCACGGUUCUCCGACCACCAAGUCUCAGCUUGGUGCUCACCGAAUCUUCGCCGGCUGUACACAUGCACCACCAAACAUGUUUAGACAUAUGCAAGUUAAUCAAAACUUCCUAUGCUAGUGUUACGAGAGCCAGAAAUCAGCCUAACAAAUAACUAUCUUGAGCUAGUUAAAGAUUUUGGACCACAGAGAAUUAUUUACAAAGUCUUUGAAUCCAAAGCACCAUAUUGAAAAUUAUCACUGGUAUACUAUUGGAGGCUGGCUGCCUACACUUGGAAGUCAUAAACAUAACCAGGAAAUAAAGAGAAUUGUUUCUAUUACCUGAACCGCACUCGUUUCAGAUCUCUUGUUCCAUCACGCAGGGCAACAAGAGUUAUAUAGACACCAGGUUCGUAUUGUUCAAUCCAUUCUGCCUCAACUUGACUACUAUUAGCAGGUAUUAUGGCAUUCCUUGAUCUCAAACCACUCUCAUCAUCUUGAAAAUUUCCAGAAUCCCUACCAUCAACAGUAUCUGAUGCAGUACUACCACUUGUCUGGAUCACGCUGCUGCUGCCGUUUGGCAAUUUAACAUCUGGGUACUCAUCUGUCCCAUUAGGGAUUACAGAUCCCCGAUUUUGCUGGUAAAGAUUAGCUCCAUAGUUUCCGGUCAGAGUGCCUUCGAUUCUGCUCGGCAGGGAUGAUUCAAUUCCAAUGGAAGCCAAACUAGAGCCACUGAUUGACUCGGCCCUGGUGUGACGCUCCCCAUUUAUUUCUGGAUAGUGAAUUCCAUUUGGCUCCAGACCAUUUGGCAGGUAAGCUGGUCUGAUAUUCUCCGCAUCAUAAGCGCCAGGGGGAAGCCUCUCAGCCAGAUCUUUGAGCUGAAAGUGAAACAAUGUGGCAGAUUAAUAAGCAUGAGUGUGGAAAAGUAAUAGCUCCAAGAGAAGUAAAUUAACCUGUGCUGUAAGUGACUUUAUAACUUCCUUUGCAGCCUUAGCUUUGGCAGAUUCCUCGGCAGCCAGAGCCAUAGCCUCCUGAGUCUUUUUUGAUGACCUUUGAAGCUCUAAUUCUUGCAUUUCACAUCUCUGUCUCAGGGUCUCAACCUAACAAAAAUUAUGUCAGAAUUAUCUUGAUACCAUAACAAGUAAAUAUCAAAGCAGCUAAGUUGUACUUGAUUGGGAUGAGAAAAAUAGGGGAAGAAUAAUAUACCUGAGCACGUAACUUUAAUACUUCCUGAUUCAAAAGCUCAUUUGUUUUCUUCAAACUAUCAGCAAUACUUUUUGAGAAGGAAAGCCCCGAUGUUGUUGGAAUAGGUGUAGCUGAACGAGGGGGGCUUGGUCUUCUAGAGAAUGGAGACACAGACCUGGAACUCACUCCAGAUGGCGUCAGCACAGGUCUUGGAGCUGUUCGCUUCAAAUCAACAGCUGUAGACAGGACAACAUCUUUAAGCUGUAGCAAAGAUUGUGGUUGUGGGUUGCGAACCAGAGAGAAUGUAUCAGCCUUCUUCCCCUGUUUGGCUGCCUUGCUAUCAAGCUGCUUUAUCAAAUCCAUAUUAGAAGGGACAGCUGUCUUGGUUAAUCUUAGGUCAGACUUCUCUAAUCUGUCCUUGUUUUCACCUGACAAACGAGGCAGAGCGUUCCUUCGAUUAUUAUUGCCUGAUUCAGAAACCUUGUUCAAUUUUACAAAACAUGAAUCACAUACGCGAUAUGGCUUUCCAGGAUUUGGAGCCAGUGCAGCUCUUAAUGCUUUCCGAGAACUACAUGAAUGACAGUGCACUAGCCCACAAUUAUAACAGUUGUGCCUCUUUCUAGUGAAUCCAAACGCUUGUCUACAAGCAGAGCACUGAGACUGCUCAGCACCGGAUACCCACUUAUGAAGGCAUAUGGCUGCAGAGUAGUUUGAACCACAAGCAAUAUAUUUCACAUGUCUAUCUUUCAAGGCUUCAACCAAGGUUGGUGUUUUUCUAUCUUCAACAUCUCCAUGACCCAAUCUCCCAUUUGCUCCCUUUCCCCAAGUGUAAACCUCAUUUUUGCACGUUAAAACAGCAACAUGAUAAGCCCCGCAUGCAAUUUCUUCAACAGAUUCUCCUGCAAGCUUGUCUUCAACCAAACAUGGCAGCUUUCCAUCCGACUGGGGAUUCCCAAGCUGACCAUAAACCGUGCUUCCCAUUGUAAAAACUUGACCGGAUGUUGUCAGCCCUACUGUCAAACUGUGCCCACAAGCAAUUCUAUGAAAAUUGUAAUCAAUAAGUGAAGGUACGCAAGUUGGUUCAAGCCGAGCAUCCUUGUCUCCAUGUCCAAGACGGUUUUUAUCUCCAUCACCCCAAGUAAACAAUUUACCUGACGAUACACUAGCACUUGAUUGAGUCACAAUAACCUCUACAACAGCUGCAGUAUGCCACACUCCACAUGCAACAGCUAUUGUCCUCAACCCAGACAAGGAUUCUACUUCUCUUGGAUACGGAACAUUUUCCCUAUCUCCAUGGCCGAGGACACCAAAUGUUCCAUCCCCAAAUGUAAAGAGCUGACCAGUUGAGGUUAUCAAGGCUGUAUGCCAUGGACCACAAGUGACUAACGCAACUUGAAGCCCCUCUAGCGGACCUGCAAUUCUCUUUGGUAUCCAAUGACUAACAUCAGUACCAUGACCAAGAAGCCCAGCAUUAUGAGUACCAUCACCCCAUGUAUACAGUUCCCCAAACAUCGUAACAGCACAGGUAUGGAACUCCCCACAGGCAACAAAAUCAACAGUUGCAGAAGUCAUGGCGUCAACUAGACGAGGUUGAAUCACAUUCUUCCCAACACCAUGGCCAAGGCGUCCACCAGAUUCUUCACCCCAUGUGAAAAGUUCACCCUGCCUUGUGACUAGAGCAGCAUGUUUAACACCACAUGAUAUUUGAAGCACAUCUAAAACCACAUUCGACUCCAGUGGCCUGGGGAGGAGAAUAUCUGUUCUUGGACUGAAAUAACUAGCACUUUUAUCAGCUCCAACUUUUACAACAUUCUCACAGAUAACCUCCCCCCAUAUGUAUACAUCCCCAAGAGCAUCAUAAUCGUCAGGUGCAGACCCAUGACUAGAUGUGCUGGGGGCACUUGAGACACUAACACGAAAAACAUCUGAACUAGAUCCUUUCACUUGCAUAUUUGAUGGGUUUGAUGGUGCAUGUGACCUAUCAAAAUUUACAGUAUUUUCAGAGUGAAAGGAUUGUGGAGAAGUAUUUGCCAGACUAACAGAAAUGUCAGGAGAACUGAUGUCUCGUGAAGCACUAACUGAACUUUCACUUGGACUAUUUGAUGUCAAGUCUCUGCCGUCCUGAAAGAAAUUAAUUGAGCCAGAAAGAAUUAUACGAAACUGUCCAUGUAUUUUACUAAUGAAGCUAUUAUACAGUAUAAUAGUAAUAAUAAUAGUAUUUGGAAAAAUAGAGACAAUUUGGAAAACUUAUAUUCAGUCCAUGAUUCCCAAAAAUACCAUAAUCAACAAAUCCUAAAUUGUGUCCAAAGAAGAACAAAGGCGAAUAACACUUUGUUUCAGAAAACUGCGGAAUAAUCUUUCCAGGAUAAGAGCUAAUCCUUAAAAUCAAGAUAAACCUUCCUCAGAGGAAACACUUGUACUCUUUUAAUGAAGCAGAAAACCAAUGAGCUCCCCUUACCAUAAUUCAUCCAAAAUAUUCAUUUCAAUGAAAAUGAUGAACACACCACUACUGGAUCAAGAGUAAGAUCAAUGAUCUCUUUUCUUUCUCAGUAUAUAUCAUAGAACAAGAAACAUGACACGAGUAAAAUGACAGUUACAAAGACAACAAGAAGGUAUUUUUACAUCAAGAUAGAGGCCUCCAUCACUCCAUCCAUCAAUUUUGGAACGCCCACCUUGACCUGAAGAUAUCAGUGCCUUGAGACCAGUAAUCCACACUUCUGCCUCAACUUUAUCCUUGCAAAUCUGAAACGCAACAUAAAGCAUUUUUAUAACAAUGAUAAAUGCAGAAAAUAGAAAUAAAACAAUGGUGUAGUCAUCCAAGAAACUUCAAAAUUCAUCACCAACCAGAUCAAGGGACCGCUUCCCGUUGUUGUAAAUAAGUGAAAAAGAAAGAUACUCCUUCUCAGGACGCAGAUAUCUUUGGAAAACAGCCUGACAGAAGAGAAGGCAAAUUAAUAACAUAGAAGAGGAGAAACAGUUUAUAUAUCAGUUUCUUUCGGGAUAUCAUUGAGUUAAUAAAGAAGAACGCUGUGCCAUCAUCAGAAAGAUAUAAAACUGUACUGUAGAAAUCUCACAGUUCUUUGUCCAGGAAUAAUUCUUGAGACAGAAGAUAGUUUCAGAUUUCUUUCUCCACUGCUUGAUAUCCAGAUUAAAGACAAUUCAUCCUGUGGUUUACAGAUAUUUGAAUAAGUGUAACUAGAAAUAACUCAAAUUAGUGUCAAAACCAAGCCUACUAUAUACAUGUCUGUUAAGCUUAUAGUCUACAAAGUACAGCCAAGGAGCCAACAGAAAAUAGGCCUUCUUAUUAACAAUCAUGAAUAUGACAGUAAUAGCAUGCAUCACACAAAGAGACGUAAGUCCAAUAACAAAGCUACAAAUCACUGUUGGUUGGUAAUUAGCACCAGAGUGAGAAAAUGAUACCACUUGGGUAACAAGCAGUAAAUCUGAGCCAAAUCAGACAAAAAGAUUUGAGCUUUUAUUCACGUCCAGUUAACUACUGAUCACCUCAACUGGUUAUACCAAACCCAGAGUGCGGAAACAAAAACCAACAAACUGCACUGGACCACAUAAACUCUUGAACUCAUUGCUUUAGAAACUAAAAGGACUGUGCUAAAUUACUAAAUUGUGGACAUAGAAAUAGAAUUGAAAAAUAAUAAUAAUAAUAAUAAUAACAACAACAAUGAUGACCUGCAACCUUCCCCUGAGAAUGAACCAAAGAAUCCUCUGGAUUCAGGAAAGUGUGUAGUUUGGCCAAUCAAACCAUUUUAUAUGACAUACUAGAAGGCAUCAUAUUGAACCAUCUAAUUAUGAUGCAGUCAAACACAGCUAGCACAUAGUACCAAUGAAAAGAAAGGAAAGAAAUGGACAUGAAGAGAUUAAGAGCAAGCCCUAUAGGAAUACUUCGUCAGAGAUUACAAAUAGUUAACGUAGAAACACAAAACACCACAGUAUGACAAACUUUUCCAAUAGAAGAAUAGUGUCUUGUUUGGCCCACCAACAUUUGAUAUCGUUGGUACAACACUUCCCCUAUUGUAGGUUGUGGGGCAGCUACAUGUAUCAAUGAAUGUAAUCAUAACCAAAAUUUUCAAAUACAACAUUUCUAGUAAGCAGGGCAAAUAAAAAUAGCUUGACUGUAUAAUAACAGUUCUGAUAAGUAUUACAAGUACAAAUUAGCAGGCUUUCGGUACAAUAUUUUUCAUAUAACAUCAGCUACCAUGCCAAAGCCCCUAUCUUUCAUAGAGUAAUUUGAAUUGAGCAUAUUAACAGUUUAGUACAGUGCAAUCCAGAAAGUUAAUGAAGCAAGAAAAUUAGAGAAUUCACUAACACUUUCCUGAAAUGAUUUCAUUUGACUUACAUUGGAAAGUCUAAACGGACAAAACUUAGGCCUUCCCUUACGACCAUAUUUAAGUAGUUGAGCACCCUUUUUCAAAACAAUCAAUGCCUGCAGAAUGAAAAGGUAAAAGAUUGAACAUACAAACAAUUAUUUACAUAAAAAAUACAAAAACUUUGGAGAAAUGAGAAAUAACAACGAUCAAGGCCAUCUUGUUGCAUAAAUGUUGUGAAAGUUUCUUAAAAUCUCCAGCAACGAUUUACAACAUUAGGUUUCUCCAAGAAACAACUCUUUCAGCCUUCUUAAUACUUUAACCCAGAUUGAUGGUUUGAAAAUAUUGUACAGACCACAGACUUAUCUGGGACCACUAUCAUUAUUGUCCAGGCAAACAACAAUAAUCGGGUGCUCAAUUUCACUAGUCAAACUCUAAUUUAGGCAUAUUCCAUGUCGUUACUACAACCAAUACAACAACACUGACGCAAGCUUCGAUAUCCCAUAUCAAACUAUCCAAAACAUUUUCAUAAGGUGCUGAAUCAAACUUUUAUCAUUAAAACAUCUACCCUAUUGGCACUUACCUCCUAUUGGUGUUAACAACCUAAACCAAGUCCGCCACAAUACCCCGCGUCUCAUAUGUUAAUUCGAACACAGACAAGCAUCCCUUAUCUUUCCUCUUCAAGACACUCAUAUUCCACGGCAGUUGAAAAAGCAACAGAUCACUAAUCAACCAAAUUCCACUUAACCUUUUCAAAAGGAUCACAGACCCAAUUCACAACAAUAACAGUAUAAAAUAUCUAAUUAAAAUCUCAUCCUAAUUCCAGCACCCCCCAUAACAAAAUAGUCUAUACAUAAAUUCCAUCACCAUGUCUUCACUCCUGCACCGUCACCUCUCACUAUUUCCCAAUCACUUUCAACAAAGAAACACACGCGCGCGCGCACCUGAUCACAAUCAUCACAUUCCCCCAAAAACAGAAACCUUAAAAAAAAAAAAACAGUUCCAAAAUUCUACCAAACAUUUAAAGCAAGAAUCAAACUUUAACUCAAAAAACAAAAUUUUGAUAAUAAACAAGUAACUGACUUGGUCGAUGUCACGGUCGGCAUUCCUGUAGCUAACAAGAUCUGCCAUUCCAUGUGAGAGAUUCACCGAAACGCCACCACCCUCUGCGAUCGCUGCACAAAGUUCCGUACAUCAUAAACCUCGACCUCAGUCUCUCGCUUUCUCUCUCUUCACUUUCUCUGAAAAUAAAAACCCACUUCUUAUUCCCACUCAAAAUGCAAAAAAACCUUCGCGGAUCUAUUCCUUUUCACAGAACCCGAAACCCCGUUAGCCCCAUUCGCAGUUCCAAGUCAAAGACGCAAACUUUUCAACUCAUGCAAAGACUUGGACCGGGUGAGGAAACAAAACGGAUUCGACCAACCCGGUUCAGUUGGAACAUGAGAAGGGGGUGUUUCUUGGAGCCUGAAGAUAAUCUCCGGCGAAGAAUGCGGGUU